Molecule: long non-coding RNA, 54137 nt
Filed under: Citrus x clementina
Lineage: Eukaryota; Viridiplantae; Streptophyta; Magnoliopsida; Sapindales; Rutaceae
Description: Citrus clementina (C. clementina) long non-coding RNA (CCLE_LNC002244)
Source: RNAcentral
AGUCUUACUAACAACCCUUACUUUUAUAUAUUUAACCUUCUUGUGAUUUAAUUACAUGUGUUUUAUUUUAAUUAAGUAUUUUAUGUAUUUUAGGGGCAUUAUAGUCAUUUCACAAUAAAGAAGAGAUCAGACGGCAAAACGGACAUCACUUUUGAACUCAGGACGGUCGAAAACCUUAGGAGGAGCAUAAAAGGAAAAAUGGCACUAUUCACAUGUACGGUACUAUUCACGUGUACGGUACUGUGUACGGUACUGUAUACGUUACUGUUCACGACACUGUUCACAUAGACGGAUGAUGACGUGGCAUUGACCGAUGAUGUGGCAUUGACUGAUGAGGUGUCACGAUCCUGUUGGACUAAAAUUCUUAUGUACUGUUGAUGGUGACGUGGCAGCAUAUCAGUGGACGAAAAAUCUCGCGUACGGUGCAUGCAUCACACAGGAUUAUUUUCAUCCAAACCGCGUUACUGUUCAUCCGGGUCAAACCGCGUUACUGUUCAAAGUCGGGUCAAACCGUGUUACUGUUCAUCCGCGUGGUCAAACCGUGGACUGUUGACUGAUGACGUGGCGCAAUCCUGAGCGUCCAAACUGUUUUUAAUCCGAUGGCCAUGAUUUACUCCAUGUAUCUAUAAAAAGGGGGCCUCCCCCCCCUAAUUUGAGAUCUCUGAAUCCAUUUUUGGGAUCCAUUUUCUGUAAUUCCCUCUCCAUCUUGUAUUUUCUUCGUAUUUUAAUAAAUUCCUAUUUUGCCCCUAGUUCAACUAUGAGUGGCUAAUUUUCUUUCAAGCUUGGGUUGAAGGUGAAGUCUCAACAUGUGUCAUGGGCUUAAUUUGGUAAAUUUAUUUUCUCUUCCCCUCUAAUUUUUGUGGAUGUUUUGACUUCUCGUCGACAAAUAAUAAUAGUCUUGUCUAGAUACCGCCUUGGUUACACCGGCUCUCUAGUAUAAGGUUAUUAUUAUUUGGCACGAUAAGCCCUUAGCACCAUAUUGAUUAGAGCGUGGUUCAUGAGGUGUGGAUUCCCCCCUCAUGAUUUAAUUGGCAUUAAUACGGAUUAUUUAGCCCAUGAUGCAUGUUGAUACGGAUCCGGAUACCCAAGUGCGUCAUUUCAAUAGAAUUCUCUUCAAUUUCUUCUCGCCAUUUCAAUACCAAUUUUAGAAUUUAUUCUUGCCAUUUUAAUUUAAGUUGUAGCAUAUUUCAAAUCAUUUCCACCAUAAUUCCAACCACCCAUUUACAAAAUUAAUUCUAUAUAUAAUUAAAAUCCACCUCCUCGUGGGAUCGACACUCGUCACCGUUGAUCUACACUACAAUAGAUUCGUGCGCUUGCGAGUACAUUAAAAUUUGCACAACAAUAAACAAGAGCAAACUUCUAUUUAUAUUGAACUUAUAUGUAUAACCAUAUUCCAAUGAGAAUUUUAUAUUUUCAAAAUUGAUUUAAUUUUGAUAUUUCUUUCAAAAUUGUUUUAAUUGUGAUCAUUGUACUGAAAUCAAAUACAAAAUAAGAAAAGAGUGGUUUAAAUAAUAAUGGCACGGGAGUGUUUACAUGUGUGAAGAAGAAAUAGGAGAUUAAGAUGGUAGACAAGGAAAAGAGAAGAGAUGACAUAAUUUAGGGUUAACAUCUAAUAGUUGCUAAUUAUUCUAUUUUAGUUAUUCAUUAAAUUGAUAUAUGGCGUUUAGGAAGAAAAAAUUAAAAGUAAAUUAAAUCUUACCCCUAGAUACACUUAAAUGGCAAGUGUCGUAAUCUCCCAUUAAUCUUGGGAAAAAUUAGAUUAGAAAUAGAAGUAAAAACAAUGAAAAUGGAGAGGAGAUAAAGAUUUCACCUGGUUCCCAUCAUUUCUUCGAAUAAAAAAUAAAUAUUAGAUUGUAAUUAUCCCCUGAUUGAAUAAAAAAUUAGAUAUCAAAUUAUACCCAUCUACUCCCCAAAUGAAAAUAAUCCCCAAAGAUCCCAUCCCCUUAGUAAUUUUUGACAUCCCUAAUUGGUGGUUUGCCCCAUGAUACAUGUAUCCUUGACAAAAAUAAAUAAAUAGAUGACAUGCUAGUCAUGUCGUCAGGCUAUAUUACAUAAGUUUGUUGGUGAAAAGCACAUGCACGAAUUAAAUCGGUUAGCUCAAAACAACAUACUCAAAUAUGUAAUUGAAAAACAUAACAUGAUUUUCUCCAUAGACUUUAUUAUUUCAAAAUUUACAUUGCAAUAAUAAUUUGGGUUCUAUUAAUUUGAAUUAGUUUUACGGUAGAAACACUGACGAUGACUGCAUAGUCAUAAAAAUAAAUAUUACAUAUAUAUUUAUUAUUAUGAUUUAAUGGUUAACAUACUUAUUCAACUAAAAGUACUGGUCCAAUUUAAUUACAGCUUAAUAUUUUAUAAGAAAUCUUUAAAUUACAUUUAAUAUAUCUUACAUUCACAUACAUAAACAGUAUAUAGUGUAAAGCCUACUGUUAACUUUACAUUUGCCUAUUUUAUAUAACUUACAUUCAAGUUACAAGUUUUACUUUUACACUUGAGGCACAAAAUUUUAAGUUUUCAAUCAUUGCUUAAGGGUGCGUUUGGAAUUGAGGUUGGGCAGCUGUAGCUUAAAAGUUACAGUACUAAAGUGUUUGGUAAACACUAACUGUUGUAGCUUUUAAGCUAUGUUGAUAUGAUUUUUCACUUGUAUAAUAUAAAAUUUAUUAUAUCUUUAAUAUUUUUAUCAAAAUUAUUAUUUAAAAUUUAUAUAUAUUAUAUAUUAUUAACUUUUAUUUCAUAAUUACAACUUUUUUUUCACAGCAACUGUAACUUAAAAUCUACAGUACUUCAAUCCCAAACGCACCCUAAGUGGUAAAGACCUAAAAGGGUAACAUUGUCCAAAACCUUUGUUUACAGUUUCCUCCAAUGGUAGGCAUUUAUAUUGGUCAUAAUUUUGAUGUUUUGUGAAGAAAGAAUAAUAAACUCCAAAAUGUAACACAGACUUCAAUACAAGCCCCCGUUUUAUUCAAUUUUAAAAAACAAUUAUAAUUACCCUAUAGCCCCGAAGUGGGUCCCUCUAAAUGGACAAAUAAGAAAUAACAUAACACAAACCCUUAAUAAAAACCUUUUAAAAAAAAUUAACAAAUAAUAAUAAUAUUAUUAUUAUUGUUAUAACUUGGCAAUUUUCCCCAACUCGCUAUCUUUAUAUGCACACAAAUCUCUAACCCAAAUUCAAACCCAAAAUUGUCUCUUGCCUCUCUCUUUCUCUUUCUCUUUCUCUUUCCUUUUUCUCUUCUGGGUCUCUUCUGUUUUCUGUUGUCUAAUUACAAAUUCAAUUCAAUUAAUUCAAACAGAUAAUGAAAAGCAAAACACGUUAAAAAAGAAGCCCUUUUUUCCCCCCAAAUCGGAAAACGGACGAAAACCCUAACUGAGGCUUCUAUCGUCAAAGCUUCUUUUUCUGUUCCAAUUUAACUCUUUUUGUUCAAUACUCGAAACCCAUUUGCUAGAAUUUGAAGAUAAUUGUUGAGAAAUUAGUUAAUUUUGCUUGCUAUGGAAGCGAUACCGCACCCUAUACCUAGAACUGUAGAGGAGGUUUUCAGCGAUUUUAAGGGCAGACGGGCUGGCUUGAUUAAGGCUUUAACAGCUGGUAAUGGCUUAAUAUUUUCUUCUCUUUUUAUUUGAACUAAAUUAAUGGGUUUGUUCUAUUUGAGCUUAUGAUUAUUUUUUUCUUGUUAAUUUUAAUUUUAAUUUUCUGGGUUGUUGCAGAUGUUGAGAAGUUCUACCAGCAGUGCGAUCCUGGUGGGUUUUUCUUUUCCAUACCUAUUUUUUGUUUAUUUAAUUGUAAUUGGACUUUUUUUUCCUUCUUUUUUUUUCUAUAUUUUUGUAUUAUAUUGACUGAAUGACUAGGUAUUUAAUAAUCAGUACGUGUUAUUUAUAGCUCUGUUUCAUGUAUAAGAGAGGCAAAUUAUGUUAUAGAAACCAACUCGUUUAUUCAUUUAUUUUUUUCAGUUGGAAGAAUUUUAAUGGAGACAAUGUCUGUGAUAUGAAUUAACUAAGUUCAUGCUUGUCUUGAGUGUUUUGAGAUUGUACAAAGUCCAUGAUUUGUCUUUAAUUAAAGAUGAAAUGCUUGUUUUAAGGUAGUUUUGCUUGUCAUAGCACUCGGAGGCUUACAUUUUUUUUUUUUGAUCACUUACACGGUUAGUUUCUGUUUUAUUCAUAAAUUUCUGUGCUUCCUCACUUGCGUCGUCAUUAACUCCUUCCAUGAUGUUUUCUUCUGUAAACGCACUUAUGUUUGCCUUUCACUAGUUUGAAGGACAUUUUUCAUUGAAAGAUCCAAAUGAAUUGAAAUUGCUGCUAUAAUGUAUUUGCUUUGCUGCUGAAGCAGGUCUGUGUAAAUAAACUAGAAAAGUCUUAAAGUGUUGUUGUACCCAUAUACUUCAGUCCAGCUGGCUUCCUAGCUGCAGAAAAUCUCAAGCUUUUUCAUUCUUGACUGUCAGGUUCUUGUGUUUAUUAUAUUGGUUGGAAGCAGAUGGUUAGUUCAGUGUGAAUUCUUGGCAUUUGGUUAUGUGGAAGUUCUGGACAUUUGUUGAUGAUUUAUUUGUUUGCAUGAUCGAUUUUCAAAAUAAUUCAUUUGGCUGCAUAAUUGUUGAAAAAUCCAAAAUUCUAGUGGUAUUUAUUUAUUUAUUUUUGGAUUGAUGCAGCUAUGUUUGUUGGAAGUGUGUUGUUAUCUUCUGUUGAGUCCUUGGCAUUAAUGUUUUAUGUAGUCAUCCAUAUUUUUUUCUUGAGUUAUGUGGUAUCUGUUAUCAUAUUAAUUUUGAUUGUCUUUUUCUCAAGUCAUUUUGUAUAAAUUUUAUUGUUUCUUUUAGUAGGCAUCGAUAUUUUCACUUUAGCCUUCCUACUUUCAUAUAUCUGCUGGAGUGGAAAGAUUGAAAGAUUAGUUUGGUUCACUUUUACAAUGAGCCACAUGUUAUUACAACACUGCAUCAUUUCAACCAAAUAGGGAAACUGCGACACAAGAAGAAUGCCCAUUGGAAAAUAGGGAUCGUGCAGCUGCCUGAUAGCAGAAAAUUCCUGAAUUCUUGGUGAUAGUGAUUAUUUAUGUUGGACUCCUGCUCUUAUGUCUGUGGAUCCGCCCAGUAUUUUCAGUUUGAUCCUUCAAUCUAAUUUCCUUAUGGUUGUAUGUUUAUUGACUUAUAUUCUGUCAUGGUAUUAUGGUUUGAUAUCCUUUUCUUAUCAGGCGAGUUGGCUAACAUGAAGUUCACUUUACUAUUUUCGUCAAUGUUUAUUGGAGUGCAAAGCUUCACCAUAUAGUGUGGUUUGUGACUGUUGUGUUGUCUAAUGUGUUGCCUUAUCUUCUUAUUGACUUGUUUGUAAAAAAUUAGAACUCUAAUUCUAAUUGUCAUUAUGUUUGGCUGCUAUACUCUAUGUCCAUGGUCAAAUGUCGUCCCUUUUUUGUUUGUUUUUAUGGUUUAUGUCCAAAUGUUGCUAGAGCAGUUGAUGUCAAUAAAAGAGUAUCUUCCUGGACUAACAGUCUCCUUCUGCAUUCUUAAUGUUUUAUGAAACCAAGUACUUUUUUGUGCUUUUAGUUAUUGGUAUGAUAAAAUGAGAUCUGAUUAUAUGAACAAUUCAAGGCAGAUUGCACAUUUUUAUUUAAAAUACUAGUAUUGUGCAUACAGAAAAAGAGAACUUGAGCCUAUUUGGGCUUCCUAAUGAGACAUGGGAAGUUAAUCUGCCUGUUGAGGAAGUGCCUCCCGAGCUCCCUGAGCCAGUGUUAGGUAUAAACUUUGCUAGAGAUGGAAUGCAGGAGAAGGACUGGUUAUCACUGGUUGCAGUGCACAGUGAUUCAUGGUUGCUUGCUGUAGCUUUUUAUUUUGGUGCACGCUUUGGAUUUGGCAAAAAUGAAAGGUAUUUUCUCUUUCAUGCCCAUUUACCUGCAUUUGCUGUAAUCUCCAGAGCCUUAGCAUUAGUAUCUGCUUUUUGGUAUCAAAUUGUUAGUUCUUAGUCCUGUCUCAUAGUUCUGCCACUGCUUUUCAACAUUACAAGAUGAUAAAGGGGAUAUGCAUAGAUAUAUCAUUAAAUUUUAUGGUUGAGAUUGUUUCAAUUGAAAGAUCAAGGCAGUAAGUCCAGGGGAGAGUAACAAUAUAUGUUUGAUUAUUUCACUUAUUUUUGUAAGAAUAUACGUUUGAUCAUUCCACAUAUUUAUCUUUUAUAAUGCUAAUUGGUGAUGAUUUGUCUUCUCUCAUAUUUGUAUUUAUAACUAUUUAUUGGUAACUUGAUCUACCAAUAUUAAGUUUAACAAGUCCAAUAAUGUUGUCUUGACAAUAAUUUAUGAUUGGUUAUUCUGUGGUCAACAAUUUAAGGUCAAGGCUUUUGUUUUAUACAUUCUGGACCAUUUUUUGCUGCUAGAGCUCGUCUGUCGUCUUGUAAAAUUCGGUUUGAACCACCUUGGUUACUAUGUUUCAUUCAUCUCAUUCAUGCUACAAAGUCAUAUGAUCAACUGUAUGACAUAUGAUGUUUGACAGCCUAUGCAUUCAAGUUGUCAUUAACGAAAGGAAGUUUAUGGUCUCCGACAAAGUCUUGACUCAUUCAGCCGGUUGACACUGCUCAAUGGAAUGUUAAUAAUCUAAUUGGGUAUCAUAGAUUUCUUGAACAAAAGACAUAGUAGGAGUAACUGAACAAUAUACUAUGGAACUAUUGUUGAAGUUAUACAUGAUAUGGAAAACCUGCGAUGCUAUGCUUGACCAGGAAGUUUAAUAAAGUCAAGAUGAAUGUCUGGUUCUAAUUUUUCUUGGAAUUGGAUCUUGCAGGAAGAAACUUUUCCAGAUGAUAAAUGAUCUCCCGACCAUCUUUGAAGUUGUAACAGGAAAUGCUAAGCAACCAAAGGACCCUUAUUUGUUGAAUCCAUUCUCCGGUUCCCGGAUUCUGCGGAACUUUUCCGGACGUUGUGGGUCGUCAUGGCGGUGGCUACAACGUAAUUUGAAGUUGAUCACGAAGAUAUAAAUGGCUGUAGCACCGACGCGUUUCACGACAAUCAAGGAAAUCAAAGAUUGUUUCUUCCAUAAGUCCAUUCUGUCGGGGAGUCCCUACUUUCAGGAUAAUGACAAUGUAGCUGUAGCCAUCUACAAUGAUAGAUCAAAGUGGUUCAAUAUUUCAAGGCCAAGAACAUUAUUGUUACUGGUAUGGCGAUGUUAUUUGAGUAUCUCAAAAUGGUGCUAGUACUGUUUAUGCAUUAUCACUAAGUCCCGGUACAGGAUGGUCCAUUCGAAGCAUGGGAUUUCAAGAAAUUACAGAAUGAUUAUAAUGCUCCUCCUGUAAAAAUAAUGGGUUUGAAUUUGAAGCCAUCAUUUCCAAACUCAUGGGAUGUAGAUACCAAGCCAUGUCAUGUGGCUGUAAACUCAUACUUGGUAGAAUCUAAGUCGUAGGAUAUUUUGUUUCUUUUUAUUUUGUUUAUAGCCUCAAAUUCCCUUAUUUGUUUACGAUGAAUCAAAUUUUUGAAAUAUAAAAUUUAGAUAAAAUAAUUAAAUAAAAAAUAAUUUAAUUUAUAUAAUAAAAAAUAAAAUUUAAUUAAAUCAUAUUUUCGUUUUUUUUUUCUAGGAAAAAAAGUGUACAAAUGUAUGUGAGCAUAUAUUAUUGAUAAGUAACACUAUCCAUCAAAAAAUUUAUCCAAAACUUUUCAUCCAAAGCAUUGUAAAAGACGGCAUUGGUGUAGAGUGUGUAAAAAAUCAACUUAAAACUUUGAGAAAAAUUUUUAUAUACAUCACAUCACAUAAUCUUCUCAUUUUUGCUACAAUUUUUGCAAUGAUUUUUGGAAUAAGUGCACUGUUCUUAUCACCCAAAUAUACAGUAAGAACACUUCAAUGUAUUAGUUUCAAUUUAAUUUAAGCUCAGUUAUUGAAUUGCUCAUUCAAUAAGAAUUCUUCAUGUUAUAUGCUUAAUUUGAAGACUCGAAUCUUCACUAUCUUUAUCACAAAAUUUUUUAGUCUCACAUGCAUACUACAUAAUUUCACUACCUAAGUAUCUUAAAAGUAAAUCGGAUUCAUGAUUUAAUUCAUGAUUUAAUAUCUAUAUAAUAUGAUGCAUGAUAAAUGAACUACUUUUUCAAAGUCCCAUAUAAAAAUUGUUAAUGGUGAUCUCAAUUUCUAAAUUAGCAAUCAUUGAAUUUUAAUUUUCUCUUACAUUUUCUUUUAAUGUAUUUUUAUUUUGUCAGUUGAUGGUAGGGAUGAGAAUGGGGAGGCGAGUGAUCGACAUCCUAGUAUCCAUCCACAAUGUUCUGCUUAAGUAUGUGUACUUCCUCAUAUCCCCGUUAUAAAAAUGUAAAUAUAUGAGGGGAGGGAAUAACAUUUCCGUCAAACUCAAUUAAUAUCAUUGAUAUUAUAGCAUAAUCCAUAAGUGAUUUGUCCACAACACACGAAUAUUAAAAUAAACGACUGCGAAUUAAAAUAUUUCGUCAAAUUAAGUUAAUAGUAUCAAUAUUACAACGUAAUUAAUAUGUGAUUCGUCCACUACAAAAAAAAAAGUGGUAUUUGUCUAUAUAACAGAAGCAAUGACAAAUUUUAUUCUUGUCUUUACAUUAUUUUUAUAAAUAUUACGAUUUUUUUUGUUUACAAACAUAUUAAUACAUUUUAAAUGUAUUUUAUUGAAGUUAUGGAAAAAUAUAAUAAAAGUUAAAAGGAUUUGGAUCCUCUCUUUUUAAUCUUAUUUUUUCUAAGAUUAAUUUUGUAGGAGAUUAUAAUAUUUGUCAAUUACGUAGAAAAUUUUCCAUUUUAAACGCCAAAUCACAUCGUUUAGUAACUAAUAACUAUAAUCCUAAAACUAAUGGGAGUUUAAUUUUAACGUUCGACUUCUUUUUUUCCCCCAUUUUCUUUACACGUUUUGUAGCCUCUUUCAUCUCUCACUGCUUCUUCAAAACCAGAAACUUAAUUUGGUAAUGAAGAAUUCCACCAAUUAAAAAAAAAAAGGCAGGUUAAUUUUAUUUUCUUUUUUUAAAAUUUGGAGCUCUCUCGUUUCUCAUCACAGUUCUCUUCUGUUGGAGAAUUUAUGAACCGUAGGAUUUCAACAAAUGAAAGAAAACAGAAAAAAUGGAGGAGAAAGUAAUCAAAGAUAACUAUAAUUGAAAUAAACAAGAGCAAACUUCUAUUUAUAUUGAACUUAUAUAUAUAUAUAUAUAUAUAUAACCAUAUUCCAAUGAGAAUUUUAUAUUUUGAAAAUUGAUUUAAUUUUGAUAUUUCUUUCAAAAUUGUUUAAUUGUGAUCAUUGUACUAAAAUCAAAUGCAAAAUAAGAAAAGAGUGGUUUAAAUAAUAAUGGCACGGGAGUGUCUGCAUGUGUGAAGAAGAAACAGGAGAUAAGAUGAUGGGUAAGGAAAAGAGAAGAGAUGACAUACUUUAGGGUUAACAUCUGAUAGUUGCUAAUUAUUCUAUUUUAGUUAUUCAUUAAAUCGAUAUGGCGUUUAAGAAGAAAAAAUUAAAAGUAAAUUAAAUCUUACCCCUAGGUACACUUAAAUGGCAAGUGUCAUAAUCUCCCAUGAACCUUGGGAAAAAUUAGAUUAGAAAUAAAAGUAAAAAACAAUCAAAAUGGAGAGGAGAUAAAGAUUUCACCUAUUCCCAUCAUUUCUUCGAAUGAAAAAAUAAAGGGUUAUUAUCAUUUUACUACUUCAAAAAUUAAAAAAUAUCAAAUAACCACAAGAAAUUUGUCCCCUAUCAUUUUUCUACUAUAUCUUUACAAAAAUAUUAUUUUACUACUUUUCCGUUAUAACCGUUAGUUGACCAGUUAGUUGACUAACAAAAUAUUAAUUUUACCCUUCAUGAUUAAAAAAAAUACUUGAAGCUUAUUUACAAAAUCAACUCUUCCACAUUUAUUCGAUCAUCCAAGUUUCAUUUCCAACAUUAGGAUAUAAAAAUAGAAUCAUUAAUAAGAAAAAUUUGUAAUCUAUUUAUAAAAAUGGAUACAAAAUACCAACAUAAUUCUUUUUACUAGAAUUAUAAUAUAUGGAUUAUAAAUUUAUCUUAUUAAUGAUUCCAUUUUUAUAUUAAUGUUGGAAAUAAAACUUGGAUGAUCAAAUUAAUGUGGAAGAGGUGAUUUUGUAAAAAAGCUUCAAGUUUAUUUUUUUUAAUAAUGAAGGGUAAAAUUAGUAUUUUGUUAGUCAACUAAUUGGUCAACUAAUGGAAAAGUAGUAAAAUGAUAUUUUGUAAACAUAUAGUAGGAAAAUGAUAGGGAAUAAUACUUCUUAUAAUCAUUUGAUAUUUUUUAAAUUUUUAAGUAGUGAAAUGAUAAUAGCCCAAAAAUAAAUAUUAAAUUAUCAUUAUCCCCUUAUUGAAUAAAAAAAAUUAGAUAUCAAAUUAUACCCAUCUACUCCCCAAAUGGCAAUAAUCCUCCAAAGACCCCAUCCCCUUACUAAUUUUUCACAUCCCUAAUUCGUGGUUUGCCACAUGAUAUAUGUAUCCUUGAUAAAAAUAAAUAAAUAGAUGACAUGCCAGUCAUGUCGUCCGGCUGUAUUAGGUAAGUUUGUUGGUGGCAAGCACAUGCACGAAUUAAAUGGUUAGCUCAAAACAGUAUACUCAAGUAUGUAAUUGAAACACAUAACAUGAUUUUCUUCAUAGACUUCAUUAUUUCAAAAUUUACCUUGCCAUAAUAUUUUGGGUUCCAUUAAUUUGAAUGACUGCGUGAUUAUAAAAAUAAAUAUUAUCUUUAUAUAUAUUAUUAUGAUUUAAUGAUUAACAUAUGUAUUCAACUAAAAGUGUUGGUCCAAAUUUAACUACGGCCUAAUAUUUUAUAUAUCCUACAUUCAAGUUACAAGUUUUCCUUCUACACUCGGGGGCUGAAAAUUUUAAGUUUUCGAUCAUUGCUUAAAUGGUAAAAACCUAAAAGGGUAACACUGUCCAAAAUCUUUGUUUACAGUUUCCUCCAAUGGUAGGCAUUUAUAUUGGUCAUAAUUUUGAUGUUUUGUGAAGAAAGAAUAAUAAGCUCCAAAAUGUAACACAGACUUCAAUACAAGCCCCCUUUGUAUUCAAUUUAAAAAAACAAUUAUAAUUACCCUAUAGCCCCGAAGUGGGUCCCUUUAAAUGGACAAAUAAGAAAUAACAUAACAUAAACCCUUAAUAAAAACCUUUUAAAAAAAAUUAACAAAUAAUAAUAUUAUUAUUAUUAUUGUUAUAACUUUGGCAAUUUUCCCCAACUCGCUAUCUUUAUAUGCACACAAAUCUCUAACCCAAAUUCAAACCCAAAAUUGUCUCUUGCCUCUCUCUUUCUCUUUCUCUUUCUCUUUCCUUUUUCUCUUCUGGGUCUCUUCUGUUUUCUGUUGUCUAAUUACAAAUUCAAUUCAAUUAAUUCAAACAGAUAAUGAAAAGCAAAACACGUUAAAAAAGAAGCCCUUUUUUCCCCCCAAAUCGGAAAACGGACGAAAACCCUAACUGAGGCUUCUAUCGUCAAAGCUUCUUUUUCUGUUCCAAUUUAACUCUUUUUGUUCAAUACUCGAAACCCAUUUGCUAGAAUUUGAAGAUAAUUGUUGAGAAAUUAGUUAAUUUUGCUUGCUAUGGAAGCGAUACCGCACCCUAUACCUAGAACUGUAGAGGAGGUUUUCAGCGAUUUUAAGGGCAGACGGGCUGGCUUGAUUAAGGCUUUAACAGCUGGUAAUGGCUUAAUAUUUUCUUCUCUUUUUAUUUGAACUAAAUUAAUGGGUUUGUUCUAUUUGAGCUUAUGAUUAUUUUUUCUUGUUAAUUUUAAUUUUAAUUUUCUGGGUUGUUGCAGAUGUUGAGAAGUUCUACCAGCAGUGCGAUCCUGGUGGGUUUUUCUUUUCCAUACCUAGUUUUUGUUUAUUUAAUUGUAAUUGGACUUUGUUUUUUCCUUCUUUUUUUUCUAUAUUUUUGUAUUAUAUUGACUGAAUGACUCGGUAUUUAAUAAUCAGUACGUGUUAUUUAUAGCUCUGUUUCAUGUAUAAGAGAGGCAAAUUAUGUUAUAGAAACCAACUCGUUUAUUUAUUUAUUUUUUUUCAGUUGGAAGAAUUUUAAUGGAGACAAUGUCUGUGAUAUGAAUUAACUAAGUUCAUGCUUGUCUUGAGUGUUUUGAGAUUGUACAAAGUCCAUGAUUUGUCUUUAAUUAAAGAUGAAAUGCUUGUUUUAAGGUAGUUUUGCUUGUCGUAGCACUCGGAGGCUUACAUUUUUUUUUUUUGGUUCACUUACACGGUUAGUUUCUGUGUUAUUCAUAAAUUUCUGUGCUUCCUCACUUGCAUCGUCAUUAACUCCUUCCAUGAUGUUUUCUUCUGUAAACGCAUUUAUGUUUGCCUUUCACUAGUUUGAAGGACAUUUUUCAUUGAAAGAUCCAAAUGAAUUGAAAUUGCUGCUAUAAUGUAUUUGCUUUGCUGCUGUAGCAGGUCUGUGUAAAUAAACUAGAAAAGUCUUAAAGUGUUGUUGUACCUAUAUACUUCAGUCCAGCUGGCUUCCUAGCUGCAGAAAAUCUCAAGCUUUUUCAUUCUUGACUGUCAGGUUCUUGUGUUUAUUAUAUUGGUUGGAAGCAGAUGGUUAGUUCAGUAUGAAUUCUUGGCAUUUGGUUAUGUGGAAGUUCUGGACAUUUGUUGAUUUGUUUGUUUGCAUGAUUGAUUUUCAAAAUAAUUCAUUUGGCUGCAUAAUUGUUGAAAAAUCCAAAAUUCUAGUGGUAUUUAUUUAUUUAUUUUUGGAUUGAUGCAGCUAUGUUUGUUGGAAGUGUGUUGUAAUCUUCUGUUGAGUCCUUGGCAUUUAUGUUUUAUGUAGUCAUCCAUAUGCUUUUUCUUGAGUUAUGUGGUAUCUGUUAUCAUAUUAAUUUUGAUUGUCUUUUUCUCAAGUCAUUUUGUAUACAUUUUAUUGUUUCUUUUAGUAGGCAUCGAUAUUUUCACUUUAGCCUUCCUACUUUCAUAUAUCAGCUGGAGUGGAAAGAUUGAAAGAUUAGUUUGGUUCACUUUUACAAUGAGCCACAUGUUAUUACAACACUGCAUCAUUGCAACCAAAUAGGGAAACUGCGACACAAGAAGAAUGCCCAUUGGAAAAUAGGGAUCGUGCAGCUGCCUGCAGAAAAUUCCUGAAUUCUUGGUGAUAGUGAUUAUUUAUGUUGGACUCCUGCUCUUAUGUCUGUGGAUCCGCCUAGUAUUUUCAGUUUGAUCCUUCAAUCUAAUUUCCUUAUGGUUGUAUGUUUAUUGACUUAUAUUCUGUCAUGGUAUUAUGAUUUGAUAUCCUUUUCUUAUCAGGCGAGUUGGCUAACAUGAAGUUCACUUUACUAUUUUCGUCAAUGUUUAUUGGAGUGCAAAGCUUCACCAUAUAGUGUGGUUUGUGACUGUUGUGUUGUCUAAUGUGUUGCCUUAUCUUCUUUUUGGCUUGUUUGUAAAAAAUUAGAACUCUAAUUCUAAUUGUCAUUAUGUUUGGCUGCUAUACUCUAUGUCCAUAGUCAAAUGUCAUCCCUUUUUGGUUUGUUUUUAUGGUUUAUGUCCAAAUGUUGCUAGAGCAGUUGAUGUCAAUAAAAGAGUAUCUUCCUGGACUAACAGUCUCCUUCUGCAUUCUUAAUGUUUUAUGAAACCAAGUACUUUUUUGUGCUUUUAGUUAUUGGUAUGAUAAAAUGAGAUCUGAUUAUAUGAACAAUUCAAGGCAGAUUGCACAUUUUUAUUUAAAAUACUAGUAUUGUGCAUACAGAAAAAGAGAACUUGUGCCUAUACGGGCUUCCUAAUGAGACAUGGGAAGUUAAUCUGCCUGUUGAGGAGGUGCCUCCCGAGCUCCCUGAGCCAGCAUUAGGUAUAAACUUUGCUAGAGAUGGAAUGCAGGAGAAGGACUGGUUAUCACUGGUUGCAGUGCACAGUGAUUCAUGGUUGCUUGCUGUAGCUUUUUAUUUUGGUGCACGCUUUGGAUUUGGCAAAAAUGAAAGGUAUUUUCUCUUUCUUGCCCAUUUACUUGCAUUUGCUAUAAUCUCCAGAGCUUUAGCAUUAGUAUCUGCAUUUUUGGUAUCAUAUUGUUAGUUCUUAGUCCUGUCUCAUAGUUCUGCCACUGCUUUUCAACAUUACAAGAUGAUAAAGGGGAUAUGCAUAGAUAUUUCAUUAAAUUUUAUGGUUGAGAUUGUUUCAAUUGAAAGUUCAAGGUAGUAAGUCCAGGGGAGAGUAAAAAUAUAUGUUUGAUUAUUUCACUUAUUUUUGUAAGAAUAUACGUUUGAUCAUUCCACAUAUUUAUCUUUUAUAAUGCUAAUUGGUGAUGAUUUGUCUUCUCUCAUAUUUGUAUUUAUAACUAUUUAUUGGUAACUUGAUCUACCAAUAUUAAGUUUAACAAGUCUAAUAACGUUGUCUUGACAUUAAUUUAUGAUUGGUUAUUCUGUGGUCAACAAUUUAAGGCCCCUCCAGGUUUUUGUUUUAUACACUCUGGCUUGUAAAAUUCGGUCAGAACCACCUUGGUUACUAUGUUUCAUUCAUCUCAUUCAUGUUACAAAGUCAUAUGAUCAACUGUAUGACAUAUGAUGUUUGACAACCUAUGCGUUCAAGUUGUCAUUAACGAAAGGAAGUUUAUGGUCUCCGACAAAGUCUGACUCAUUCAGCCGGUUGACACUGCUCAAUGGAAUGUUAAUAAUCUAAUCGGGUAUCAUAGAUUUCUUGAACAAAAGACAAAAAUAGGAGUAACUGAACAAUAUACUACGGAACUAUUGUUGAAGUUAUACAUGAUAUGGAAAACCUGCGAUGCUAUGCUUGACCAGGAAGUUUAAUAAAGUCAAGAUGAAUGUCUGGUUCUAAUUUUUCUUGGAAUUGGAUCUUGCAGGAAGAAACUUUUCCAGAUGAUAAAUGAUCUCCCAACCAUCUUUGAAGUUGUAACUGGAAAUGCUAAGCAACCAAAGGACCUAUCUGCUAAUCACAAUAGCAGCAAAAGCAAAUCGAGUGGAAAGGUUUGAGGAAAUUGAAAUUGGAACUUAAUGGUUUUCAGUUACUAUUGUUUUUAUCAAAUUCUUUUCUCUCACGGUUUGGAUGUUGCCUUCGAGCAGUCUCGUCCAGCUGAAUCACAAACCAAAGCAGUGAAGAUGUCUCCACCACCGAAGGACGAUGAUGAUAGCGGUGAUGAAGAAGAGGAAGAUGAUGAACAGGGUGCCACCUGUGGAGCAUGCGGGGAUAACUAUGGCACUGACGAAUUCUGGAUCUGCUGCGAUAUCUGUGAGAAAUGGUUCCACGGCAAAUGUGUAAAGAUUACACCUGCGAAGGCCGAGCACAUCAAGCAGUACAAGUGCCCCAGCUGCAGUAGCAAGAGGGCUAGAGUUUAAGAUCAGUUAUGAAGUUGGGAAUUGAACAACGAUUGAACAAAGCAAGACAAGAUUAGAACUUUUUUCGUUACAGUUUGAGAGUAAAACAGAGUCAGAUACCUGUUUUAGUCAAUGAAUUUGCAACUCCUGUUUAAUUUUCUCUGGAAUUUGUGUUUUGAAAUAGCUGCUGGCAUUUAGAAAUGCAAAUGUUGGAGCAAGUUUUCUGGUGGUUUGAUCUAAAGUUCUUGUUGUGAAUGUGUAAGCAUCAUUGACAAAAGGCUCUUCCUAUUCUAUGACUGUGUCCUUUGUUAAAGGAAAAGAUUGGAACAUUCCUCAUUGUAGCAUCAAACAUGCAAGGAAAUUGAAGCAUAACUUGGCUUGAGCAUGAAGUCAUCAUAACAUGCUCCCAAAUUUUGGUGCAAAAUUAUUGUCCGCCAAUUGCUACCAAUUGGAUGAAAAAGUUCCAAUUUCAAGAAGCAAUCAAAUAUUGUUUUAAAUAAGUGGAUGCAAGUACAAACUAAUAAUGGUGAGGUGGUCUUCUGAUUGUCCACAAUCUAUUGCUAAAUUUAUGUUAAAAAGUGGAAAAGUGAUUUGAUAAUAUUUCACCAACUGUAAGCAUCCAAAUGUGGGGAUUUUGGUAAAAGAAUGUUCCAACUAUUUACGUAAGCAAACACACUAUAACUAUAACUAUAACUAUAUAUAUAUAUUCUAAUGGAGGGUCUUGUCUUAAAUGAAUCACUGAAGAGUAACAUGUUUACAUUUUGACUUUCAAUGAUUUCAUUAUGGACACACUCAAUGAUCAUCACCAAAAAAUUUUUUUAAAAAAAGUUAAGAUUUAACAAAACACACAUGCAAUUGGAGAGCUUUAGAAACAAUUAAGACAUUUUAACUCAACGCAUUAAUCAUGAUAAUCAUUAGUUCAUGUGGAAAAGAAAUUUUUGAUCGCAAUUAUGAAAUGAAGACAUAAUUAACUCACGCAACUUUAUAUUCCAUUUUAAUUGAGCAAAAAUAUCGAUAUUAAUUAAUUAAUUCAACUCGUUAGGUCCCUUCUUUUUUUUUUGUAAAUGGAGGAGCUUAAGGUUAAAAAGCCUCCCUCAUAUCUAAAAUCUACAAAGAAACAAUGAAAUAAAAGACUUGUGGGAUCAAGUAGGCUUUUCAAUUCGUUCAAGGCCAUGGGGACCUACUCUUUAAAGUUUCUAUUUGUUGCAAUUGCAUUAUUAGGCUUUGAUGCUGCCGCUUGGAUAAGCUUCUUGUGGUAUUAAUCAAAAUAGAAAAUGCAUUGUCAUGCUAUAAAAUCCAACAGUAGAAUUCCACCAAAAUCAAACAUGUUUUGUUUGUCUGCAAAAAUUCUAUCAGAAAAAGCACAAGAAACCAAACACAACCAAGAAACUGCAUUGGCCCUGUCUUUAUAAAUCUGCUUAAAGCCAUAAAUGGUUUAGGGCUUAGCAAAAGGUAUUGGGUUUUUUUUUUAUUAUUAGUAGUAUUGUCGUGCAAGCUCAAGUGAUGAUUAAUAUUCAAUUGACAAAAACCUAAAGAAACCAAAAGUUGCAUGUGAUUAAGCAUUUGGCUGUAGAUGGGUUAAAGCAUGUUGUGAGUAGAAAAUUUAAUGUCAUUAAUCUCCAACUGAUAAACAAUUUAAUGCUUGACUAACCAAUCACGUGCUAAAGAGGAAAAGAGAUCUGAUUUGGGAAUAUCUUAAAGGAUUAGUUUAAUUGGGAAAUUAUUAAAAUUAAGAAGAGUUGUGAAGAAAAAAAAACCAUGAUAGAGAUUAGAGAGAGGUCUCAUUGUGGCCUUGGCACAUGCUUUGGUUGUUAAAUAGAAAAUUGAUCGAUCGAUCACCAAAACUUGACCAACACCCAUUUUUGUCUACGUUUUGAUUGUGAUUGAUAAGCCAUUUUCAAUUGCUAACGUAUGGAUACUGCUUCAACAUGGAAUCUAAAUCUUGAUCUUGAUGGUGGAGAGAAAAUUGUGAUUUGUUUUCUAAAAAUGAAAAACAAAAUUAAGAUACAUAUGACUCAUAUGUAAAUAAUUACAUGAAACGUGAAAUUAAUAAUAUCAAACGUUAUACAUAUAGAUCGUAAAAAUGAUAAAUGAUAACACAAAACAUCAUAAUAGUAAUGAUGUACGUUGUCAAAAUUAGUAAUACAUUAACUAUAUUAAUUAUUUGGAUUAAAAUGGUAAAACUCUAUAUUGGUGUUAAUGUAAAGUCCAGAAUUUCACUCUUUUUCUCUCUUUUCUAUUUUUUUUCCUUUUUAAAAUAGAGAUCACAUUGUUGUGCGCUGCAUCCUCUAAAAGUUUUUUCUUUCUUUCUUUCUUUUUUAUUUUUUUGUCACAUUAUUCAUCAAAAGAAAAGAAAAAAAACCUCAUCAAUUUCUUCUUCAGAAAGUACUUUCUAGUUUCUAUGCAACUCUUCACCUUAUCUUGUCAUGAAUUCACAAGCUUGAUUCAUUCAAUAAGUUCAACCAUAUUGGUUGAAGAGAUGGCGAAUAUGCAUUUACUGAAAAAGCAAGGAACACCUAAUGACUUUGUGCCUUUAACUUUAAUAGAAGGACACUCAAAUGCAAAAUGAACAUAUAAACAGAAAAUUGCAACCAAUUAAUCAAUAGCUAUGAAAAGAUCAAACUACUGAAUUGAAUUGUUCUAUUCUCUUGUACAAAUGUCUCUAUUUUAUAUCAUUCAAAAUAAUAUUAUUAUAGUGCAUAUGUAUUUUACAAAGUGAAUAGUAGACAUUCCAACUUAAAAACUUUUUCAAAAUUUAUAUAGCUUCUUGACACUUGAAUCACAUAGAUAAACAAUGAUACAGAAUUAGUGUAAUAACAUAGUAUAAUAUUAAUAUUGAUGGAUGUAAAUAGAAACAUUUUACAAUUCUUUUUAAGUGGAUCUUUUAUAUAUAGUUAUAUACCAUUCACCACAUUACCAAUACAAUAUAUAUAUAUAUAUAUAUAUUAGCAAAAAUAGUAGUAUCAAUAUCUUUCCAAAAACAUAUUCUUAAAAGAAGUUUAUUUUUUUUCCUUUAUAAUGUUUUCUUUUUCUUUCUUGCAAUAAAUAUUUCCAUAAAUCAUUAAAAAAAUAUUGUGUAACAAAACAGACAAAAGACAAGAAGAGACCAAGAACUGUUUCAAGUGUAAAAAGGCAAAAACUGUAAAAUAAAAAAUAAAUAAAAAAUAAAAAAAAUGAAAGACAAAAAACACAACACAAAUAUCAAAAGAAGUAGAAAUCCCGGGGUCCCCGGGGCUUCCUCCACAGUCCAAAGUUCUCUUUCACACACACACUCACUCACAUUCCAAAGAUUCAACUUUCAACAAUUUUGAUUUGAGGCGCCAACUAAGAAAUAGGAGUAAAAAAUAAAAAAUAAAAAAUAGAAAUAAAGAAGUAAAAACCCUAGUGACAGUGAGUGAAGAAGAAGAAAAGGAAAAAUCAACAAAAAAUAUUAUUUAUAUUGUCAGGUACUGGUCCAUUUCAUACUCACACUGUCAAAAUCCAUUAUUUCCUAUCCACUCUCUCUUUCACUAAUCAUUUAUUACCAUUUUCGUUCAAAGUUUCAAUUUUUUUUCCUUUUUGUUGUUGGGUUUGUAUGAUUUGUAAAUUUUGUGUACGUGGGGUUUGAAGCUUUGAUGAGUGAAAUGGGAAUGUGGGUAUUGUUUUAAACUUGUAAAGUUUUGUUUUGGGGUUUGUGGGUUUUUUUUUUUUUUUUUAAUUCUUGGUUUGACCAAGGGAAAUGGCUGAAAUGAGAGGGAGGUUGCAGUUGAAGAAAGAGCUGACACAAAUUAGGAAAGCAGCCCGUUUGCGUGAUCCGGGGACCACAUCUUCAUGGAAGUCACCAUUGAGUUCAUCCAGAUCUCUAGCAGCAGCAGUGGCAGCAGCUUCUGCUUCUGGCUCUGCUUGGAAGAUCAAUAACAAUAACAAGCAAUUGGUUGAUGAAGACAACAAUGUGAGUAUUAAUAAUGGGAAUGUGAAUGGGAAAGAGAAGAGGGUGUUUUUGUGUAAUUGGAAGAAUCAGAAAUCUUCGAGUGAGACUAGUGCAGUUGCAAGAAAUGAUGAUGAUGAUAUUGAUGUCGAUGAUGAUGAGGAUGAAGGAUCUUCCUCGGUUAUUGAAAGUGUUGAUGAUAGCUUGAGUGAUGCAAGAAAUGGUGGUGAUUCAAAGAGUGAUACUUAUUUGGGUGAGAAUCGGGCAUCGUCGAUUUUCAGGUGUAGAGAUGCAAAUCUUGUGUCUGUGGCAACUCCAGCAAUGAAAAGAGCAAUGGCUGCCAAGAGAAAAAGUAAGAGACAUAAAACCCUUUCCGAUUCUUUAACUAGAUAUCAACAAAAACAAAUUAUUCUUGCUAGGAAUUCAGCGGCAUUAGGUUUAGGCAGGGAUGAGUCUGUUGAGCAAUCCGAUGAUACUGAAGAUUAUUGUAAUUCGGAGGAUUUUCGUAAAUAUUCUGGGGCUUCCCCAUUGCUAUUAAAACUUAAGCAUAAGAACUGGUCACAUUCGUCUUCUAAGUUGUUGAAAGGUGGUAGAAAAGAAGAUUCGUCUUAUAGUUACAGCACACCUGCAUUGUCUACUAGUUCUUAUAAUAGGUAUGUUAAUCGUAAUCCUAGUACAAUUGGAUCUUGGGAUGCCACAACAGCAUCCUUGAAUGAUAAUGAUGAUGCUAUGGAUGAUCAUUUGGAUCUCCCUGGUCGUCAAGGAUGUGGGAUUCCGUGCUAUUGGUCAAAAAGGACACCAAAACAUAGAGGGGUAUGUGGGAGUUGUUGCUCUCCUUCCCUUUCAGAUACUCUAAGGAGGAAAGGAAGUAGUAUUUUGUGUGGGAGCCAGACGAUGUAUCAUGGAAGGAGACGCUCGUCAUCUGUUUCUAACAAGAGGAGAAUGGCUUCAAGAAGUGCCCAAGGUGUUCUCCCAUUACUCGCCAAUAAUGGUGAUGGGAGAGCAGGGUCAUCUAUCGGAACUGGCCGUAGUGAUGAUGAACUUUCUACAAACUUUGGGGAGCUCGAUUUGGAGGCAUUAAGCAGAUUAGAUGGCAGGAGGUGGUCAUCAAGCUGUAGGAGUCAAGAUGGGUUAGAGAUUGUAGCUUUAAAUGGAGAGGAAGAGGAAGGUGUACUGGAGAAUAUAAGGAGUUUGAGCCAGAAAUACAAGCCGAUCUUCUUUGAUGAAUUGAUUGGACAGAAUAUUGUGGUUCAAUCACUUGUGAAUACCAUUUCAAGGGGAAGAAUUGCUCCUGUUUAUCUUUUCCAAGGUCCUCGAGGGACAGGGAAAACGUCAACGGCUAAGAUCUUUUCUGCUGCUCUGAAUUGUGUGGCUACUGACCAAACCAAGCCCUGUGGGUACUGCAGAGAAUGUAACGACUUCAUCUCUGGAAAAAGUAGGAAUUUUAUGGAAGUUGAUGGCACCAAUAAAAAAGGAAUGGACAGAGUUAGAUACAUUUUGAAACACUUAUCUGCUGGUCUUCCAUCAGCCUCUCCACGAUUCAAGGUUUUUGUUAUUGAUGAGUGUCACCUGUUGCCCUCGAAGACGUGGCUGGCGUUUCUCAAGUUUCUUGAAGAACCACCACAGAGAGUUGUGUUCAUAUUCAUAACAACAGAUAUUGACAAUGUGCCCCGUAGCAUACAAUCACGGUGUCAAAAAUAUCUAUUCAACAAAAUUAAAGAUGGUGACAUUGUAGCGAGGUUGAGGAAAAUUUCUGCUGAGGAGAAUCUGAAUGUUGAGCCGGAUGCAUUAGAUUUAAUUGCUCUGAACGCUGAUGGUUCUCUUCGAGAUGCUGAAACUAUGUUAGACCAGCUCAGUUUGCUUGGAAAAAGAAUCACUUCAUCUCUUGUAAAUGAACUUGUGAGUUUUAUCGACAAUGCUUUGUUGGCAUGGUUUGAUUCGGAUUUAGUUAUUAACACUACCAUAAUUUCAUGAAUGGGAAUAUGAUCAAUUAACAAAAAAACUAUUUUGUAAAGAAAAGCUAAACCAUCUCAAGUGCAUGUGAGUUUCAUAUUUUUCUGAUCCUUUAGUUGUACAUAUAAUUAGUUCAACUUACAUAUGCAAUUUGCUGACUUCUCUGCAGGUGGGGGUUGUUUCUGAAGAGAAAUUACUGGAACUUUUAGAAUUAGCGAUGUCAUCAGACACUGCAGAAACGGUGAAAAGAGCCAGGGAGUUGAUGGAUUCUGGGGUUGAUCCAAUGGUUUUGAUGUCUCAACUGGCUAGCCUCAUCAUGGAUAUCAUUGCUGGAACCUACACCAUUGGUGGAAGGAGUUGUGAGUAUUAUCCAUUUCACUUUUUCAUGGUUGUUUCUUCGGAAGCAGAAGCUCCAAAGAGAUAGAAAAUUUGUUCUCUAAUUAGAUCAAUCUGCUAUGUUUGAAAUCCCUGUUAACUCAAUUUUGGUAAGUUAAUAUUGGGAAUACCAGACCGCCUAGAUAUACUAAAUCAUAAAUUGGUAAUACCUAGCUUUUCAAACAAAUGCGUCAGAGAAACAUUUUUCUCUUUAUUUUUAUUUUACUGAAAUCUCCGUGGACUCAAGUACACAAUUUGUGUAUAAUGUCUUUGAGGCGACUAGAUGUCCCAUUUAUUCUCAUAAGGAAAAAUAUUGGUAUGUAUCUAUUAUCAUUGAUUUGUCUCAUCAUAUUUUUUAUAAGGUAAGUUUUAAUCUGCAGCAAUUUUCCAAAAAGGUUAAUUCUUUUAGUUACUUGUCGUGUAUUUGCAGCCAACUUAAACCCAUUAUGGAAAGUUGGUUAACAUUGUAUCCAGAACCUUGGUUUGCUGAUUGUGAUUGGUUACAUUGUAUCCAUUUUAUCCACCUUUUAUUGUUGUUCCAACUUUCAUUUAUUUAUCUUAGCUUCAAUUGAAAUGCAGCCAAAAAGAAAAGGAGAAACAUUUUGAGUUUGAAACCCAUUGUAAAAUUUAUUCUCUGCUGUCAGUUAGAAAUAUUACAAUUGAAAUUACUGAUAUGCAUUGUUGUUGUCAUUCUCUAGUAACUGAAGCAGAAUUGGAGAGAUUAAAGCAUGCAUUGAAGCUCCUUUCAGAGGCUGAGAAACAGCUAAGGCUUUCAAGUGAACGCUGCACGUGGUUCACUGCAACCUUGUUGCAACUUGGUUCAAUGCAUUCACCAGAUCUCACUCAGUCAGGUAGCAGUAGAAGGCAGAGCUCUAGGACUACCGAGGAAGAUCCAUCAAGUACUUCAAGAGAAGCUGUUGUUUACAAGCGGAUGUCAGGUCCUCAAUAUAUGCCUCAAAAUGCAGUAUCCCCUGCUUCCUUGCGUGAACCAGUUAAUGGAAAUUCCAGGCAUCUUGGAGAAGUAUUAUCACGAAUUGAUGGUCAUAAUUCUUAUUCCAAGCCCUCACAUAGCCGGUUGAAAGAUGCGGGUGCCUUGGCUGUCUCACAGAAUGGCAAUAUUGUUGGAAAUACGAUUAUUACAUGCAGAAAUUCAGAAAAGCUAGGUGAGAUCUGGGCACAGUGUAUUGAAAGGUGUCAUUCGAAGACAUUGAAGCAGCUACUGCAGGUCCAUGGAAAGCUUUUGUCUAUCUCUGAGGUUGAAAGUAAGUCCAAUAAGUUUUACUGGGAAAUUGAAUUACACAAUGUAAAAGAAUAUAUACACAGACAUAAUAUGUAUAUUCUUAAUCGUUAUUACUGUUAUUUGAUUCUCAAUCCUAUUAACUGAACACACACGCACACUACCAAGGCCUAGCUCCACUGGUUAGUGGACGGCCUUCUUAAAGGUUCGAGACUCAUGUAGUGUGCGUGCGUAUUUGAUUAAUAAUUUUUUUUUUAAAUCUUAUUUAAUUUAAAAAAUAUUCAAGUAGUCAAGAAGUGCUUCCAGGAAAUUUUGGGUGAAAAUAAUCCUUUGGGCUAUGAUUGCUAAUUUUUUUGUAAAUUUAAGCAUCUUAAUUUUUGAAGUUCUAUAAAAAUGAAAGUGGGUAAAGUGUCAUAUUAAGUGUAAAUUGCGAAACUAAUAAGGAUUUUGAUUUGUUAAGUACCUUGAGAAAUGGUAUAUACUGCUGUAACAAUAUUGUUUUUCUCUGUCUGUGGCUCCCUAUUUUUGGCCUCUACUAAUAUGGAUUUUGAUUUAUUAAGUUCCUUGAGUGGAGGUGUAUAGUUCCUUGUCUGUCUCCAUCUCUGGCUCCCUAUUAUUGGCCUUUUUGGUCCACAUGCUGUUGAUUCAAAUUUCCUUAAAGAUGUUUGCAAGUGUUUAAAUUUCUAUAUUUUCUCCUUGCAGGAGUUUUAAUUGCCUACGUUGCAUUUGGAGAUGGAGAUAUUAAGUCAAGAGCAGAAAGGUUUUUGAGCAGUAUUACCAAUUCAAUUGAAACUGUAUUGAGACGCAAUGUAGAGGUUAGAAUAAUCCUGUUGCCGGAUGGUGAGGCUUCUAUUCACCAUGGAAUUUCUAAUGAGUUACCUAAAGGUCUCAAAAAGACAGAAACCACUGCCGCAAUUGAGAGGGAAGGAAAGGCACUUUGCUCAAAUGCAAACGAUAAUUAUUCUGAUUCAGACUCACAGCAGAUUCCUGUUAAUGUAGCGAGGAAAGUAUCCAGAGGAAGUUUUAAUGAGUUGGAAGGUAAGUUUAAAGGAGAGGAUGAUCAUUCAAAUUGUUCUCCCCUUUUUGCUGACGGCAAUUCGGAAAUUAGUAGUACAAAAGGGAGGAGGCAGGAGAUUCCAAUGCAGCGAAUAGAAUCCAUAAUCCGCGAACAGAGGUUAGAAACUGCAUGGUUACAGGCUACAGAGAAAGGAGCCCCUGGAUCACUGGGUCAUUUGAGACCUGAGAAGAAUCAAGUGUUGCCCCAGGAGGAUAUCUAUCGACAAAAUCAUAUGGAGUCCCUUCUUUCAUCAGGAUUGUCUUCUCAGCAAUGGGAAGAUGAAUUAAAUCAGGAACUCAAAAUUUUGAAGCUCAAUGAAGAUAGAGUGCUCAAGAAGGAUGAGAAUGGCAAAAAGGGUGAAAAUUACCCGAUAUUGCCAAGCUUAUUGCAUGAUAGCAGUUUUAUGGGGAAUUUCAGCAAAGAGAACCAGUAAGUCUUUUACUGACAUCUAUUGUAAUUAUAUAUUAUUUUUUCUGUGAUACUUUGCACUCCUUGGGUCCCAAUCGAGAAUAGAUUUCCAAAAACUAAAGCCUAGAAAUUGAUAGAACAAUUAGGUUGCUUGAAAUUUGGUGUACUAUAUCCAGCUUGUUGCUAGGUAUAGGGUUGAUCUUACAAGAUCCAGCUAAAAGUCCAAUACCCAAUUCCAGAAGUUUAGAGAAAAGUGGCUUAAUCCAAUACUGAAGAAUUCAAGAUUGUUGAGUUUACCUUUUUCUUGAAGUACUAGAUUCUCACUUAGAUUGUAUACCUCUCAUGCUAAAUGCUGGUGUUUCUUUAGGGGAUAUGAAUCAGGGUCACAAGCUGGAGGUUGCAGUGGGCUAUUCUGUUGGAAUAACACCAAACCUCAUAAGAAGGGAAAGGUAUUUUAUCAGUAUUAAUAUGUUUCUUCCUUCAUUCUAGCAUUUUGCAUAAAGUCAUCAGGUUCUAUUUCUGUGUGUGAACAGGUCAAAGGAACCCCUGUUCGAUCACGAAAAGGCGGGCAUUUUUCAUUAUUUGUCGAUUGCACAAAGGCAAAAAAAAGUGAAAGCAGACUUAGAAGAUAAAUGGGGAGCUUAAAUUUAAGUAGUUGGGAAUUCAUCCUUUUGUUUUCUUUGCAAAUUUUUUUGUGUAUUUAUUUUCCAGUUAAACCAUUCUUCAAGAAUGCGAGCUGAGCUCAAAGAGAAUGAUGUAAAAUGAAAAGGAUAUGUUGGACUUUGCCAUUUGUUUAGCUGCAGCUAAUUUUUAUGCCAUGAAUUAUAUAUAAUGAGAAACAGUCUAAGAUGAAAGCAAUUCAGCUUUUGCACUGCCUUGCUUGCUGGUGUAGUAAAAUUAGUUUUUGCGAGUUGCUCAUGGUGCCAUUUCAACCCAUUCAUUUACGGAUCCGCUGAUAUACAUCAGAUAAUGCAUGUUACAGAUCUCAACACAACAUUUGAAACUUCUUACACUAAACUUGAAACAUCUAAUAGAAAAAUAGAAAUCAAACUUGAAUUGUAAACCAAAAUUUGAAAUGUUUAAUAGAAAACUUGAACGGUAUUUGUGUACCGAAUCCCAUUUAUUCACCAUUUAUUCAAGGUGUACCGUGGAGUAUGGACCCCAGUGUUUAGUUAAAAUUUCGGAAGCAAAAGUUCAAAAAUACAACACAACAGAUAAAAACUUCUAUUAAGAAGACUCUGAGCUCAAAUUCAAUAUCCUCUCUGCAAUUAACAAAUCAUCAGGGGUUGUAACCUGGAAUUCAGAAUACACAACACAUCAAUUUGCAGUUCAUAUAACUUCAAGGUCACCUUUUUCAUGCAUAGGAUGAAUUUUUUGAGGAAACUACUGUAUUUCAGGCUAAAAAAUGUUGAUUCUGUUAUAUGAAAAUGCUAAAUGUCAAUCAGUAAGGGGUAACAGGUGAGAUUUCCACCCAUUACCUUGAUGUUGGUGUAAGAUCCUUCGGUGAUGUAUACAGGAUGUUUGAGAUGCUCCACUAUAGAUACAUCAUCAGUAACUUCAAGACCUUCCCUGUAGACAAUUACAGUUUGCUAAGAACAUUUUUUCUGUAUAGAGGUGUGAACACAAUGAAUUAAAAUGGAACAACCGGUAAAUUGUUUUUAUCUGGAAAUCAUAGACAUCAGUAUCAGCAUGAUGGGUUCACAGUAAAAGAUUUAUAGAUGAGGAGCUUAAAAGCAAAUGCAGUACCUAUUGACAAGCUCAAAACCCUUUUUAAGCAAGUCAGGCUUAAUCACCUAUAACAAAAAAUUUAUGGAAGUUACAAAAUAAUAUAUCCAAUAUGUCAAAUUGUUAGAACAGAAAUAUCAUGCAGUCUCUUGCAACAGCAAACCUGAGGGGUCUGCAUUUCCCAAAGAGUUUUGCGGUCCAGGGUUCUAACCACAAAAGAUUCGCUAUUUGCCUGCAUGCAUAUAUUAGGGAAUAAGUUCCCAAAUCUAUAAAACCAUUUGCUUCCCCAAACUAUAUUCUCCAAUGCACAUCCGGAGUAUAAGAAGCAGAAAGCAAUGAAUUUUAACUGGAAUAAGAAAGUGAAGUAAAAAGACGUAUCAAAUCCCAAAUGGUACAAGUGCAAAGGCUAAUGUGCACCUCUUUAAUUGUAGCUUUGGCAGGAACACCAAGUACAGCUGCUCCGACCCGCAAAGCAUCCAUAAGGACCUAAUAGUGGUAAAAUAAUGAGGCACAUAGCCAAUAUUUUUCUGGAACUCCUAGAAAAUAUGGGAAUGUUUACUAGACCUGUUUACUAAACCAAACCACCAGCCCAUACCUUUUGCACAUCUUUAGAUAAUACCAAAGGUCUAGCAGAAUCAUGGAUGCACACGAGCUCAGAGUUAAAAUCAACUUCCUGGAUGCAAAAGCAGCAUAUAACAAUACAAAUGAAAGCUAAUGUUAAAUUAUCAGCCACUAAGAGCAAAUCAAAAAACUGGAUGAGAAAAAAAGAACUGGAUAUCAGGACACCAUAAUUUUUGACUAAUUUGUUACGAAACAUUUGACUCAAUAAACAAUUGAUAUAAUAUCUUAUUGUGACUUUAUUGGUGGGUCGUCAAGUUUAAUUUUUUGAAAAAAAAGAGAAAGAAAAAAGAAAGAAGCUAAUAAUCCACUUAUGCGUACCACCAAUCCUUGAGAUAAAUCAUUUGGUUAUAUUCUAACAAUUCAUGGCAUGAAGAAUUAAUAACAGAUAAAAUAUAAACCCAGAAAGAAGAAGAAUAAAGCAGUGUUGCUGCCAAAUUUCAAGCAAAAUCCAGUUUUCUUUAAGUUAAAUUUUAUGAGUAGAGAAAUUUAUUUGCUAGCAGUAACCAUUGAAUAGUUUUCAGUAAGUUUUUACAGGCACUAGAGGAAAAUUGAAUCAACAUAAGAUGUUGAAAAAGCAAGAACAUAGAUAGAGAAACUAAAUUUCCUCUUAAUUAUCUAUGCACCUGAAGUCCGCUGUAAACAGAAUCUUGCCUCUCCUUCCCCGGAAGUGAGAAUUUAAGGUCUACAUUGAUCUUCUCUUUGGUUUCUGAAAGAAAAAUCAAGAAAUUAGUUUACAUAUUUCUGGUAGCACUCAUGCCCAACAUUAAAAGGUGACCAAACUGGUAUACUCAUUAAUAGGAGAAAGCAUACUAUGCAAGCACACGAAGAGAGAGAGAGAGAGAGGGAGAGAGAGAGGACAGAAACCUUCAAAGAUGUCACUGUAAGAUGGAUCACAAACUACCACAAUUUCCUUCACUUCAACCAUGCGUGAGAAAGUGUAGAAACUGAAGAAAAAAUGCAUUUUAUUAUUUUCAGAAGAAAAAACGAGGAUCAGUCAUAAGCAAUGGAAACAACGACUAUUACAACUUUAAACACAUAACUGUUAUUUUGCCUGAGGGCCAGACCUCAGUAACUGAAUCCCACCCAGGGUACCUUUAACCCAAGGUACUAUUCUAAAAUAAACUGAGAAUCACAUUAACAACACUAUGGAAAUACUAUAAUGUUUGUUACUGGAUCAAGAAGAAAACUCCAUAUUCCCAGAAAGACCAACUCUCACAUUCUAUUUGAUUUUUCAUGCCGAAUGUAACUGAACAUAGGUUACAGUUUAAACACGGAAGUCCCUCUUAAACCAUACAUCAAUACUUUGAUAGAAAAAAUUAAUAUCUAACACAGGUUGUUGGAAUACUACAAUAUUGUUGAUGCAAGAUAUUGGCAUUUACCUAUACAAUGCAAUGGGUUGACCCAAAAGUGGUAGAUACUGCUUUGGCAUGUUCGCCUAUUGGGACAAACAUAAAAUAACCAUCAUCUGAAAGAAGAAAAUUAAGAACAAUAGGAAUUGAAGAACGUAAUAAACUUAUACAUACAAUAUGGAUAAUACCAUAGCAUUGUAUGCAUAUCCAAACAAUACAAAUAACAGCUCAUAUGAAAAUGAGCCUCUGGAUAAAAACAACAAGAUACUUACACCCAUUCGUUUGCCCCUCCCUCCAGCCAAAAGAAUAACUGAUACACUCUUAUCUUUAACAACGACAGAACCCUGAGAUACAAGAACAUAACAUGAUUAACUGCUAAAAAUGGACGUGAAGCAACUCAAAGGAAAUAAAUCCCACUUACAUUAUCAACUUUAGCAGAACAUCUAAUCCUGGAUGUUGCAAGCCUGGCCCUCCUUGUCAAGCCAAAGAACUGAUUUUUAUGCCCUGAAAAGCACCAAAUUGAAUAGAAAUCACAUCAAAAUAACAAGCAAAGGAUAUGCUCCAUUGCCCAUCAAAAGUUACCAGUUCUGGAGAAAGUUUGGUGGUUGUCCGGGAACAGUGAGAGAGAAGAAGUUGAAGAAGACAGAGCAAGGUUCAGCUGAAGCAGGCCCAUGAGUCUAAUUUGUCAGCUUCACCUUUCUCAGUCAGUCAAAUACCGAAAUUGAAAUAUGGAAAUGAAGAAGUGAAAUGCUGCUGAGAGAUUAAAGCAGAGAAUGUAGUGUGUGUUUGUUGACUCUGUGCAGACGGAGACAAAUCAAAACGAUCAUAAUUCUUGUGCUGUUAAGUUUUUUUUUCAAUUUCUUUAUUUCUUUAUUUAUUAUCUUUUUAAGACAGCCAUCUUUGAAAUAAACAAAGUUUCAUUCACACAGCUACCGCUCAAAUUCAGAGUGUGAUAAAUAAAUGAACCAAUGGUAAAUUUAGAUAAAUUAAAAUUUGAUGAUAAAAAAUAAUUGAAAUUUUAUUUUUUUUAUAUACUUUUGAUAUUUAACCAUAUUGAAUUUAGUUUUCUUACAAAAAUAUCAUCUAGGUCCAUGAGAAAUUGGGAUAGUUGCUAAAAUGUUUGAGCUUUUUCAUUGGGGGAAAAAGAAAAAAGAAAGAAAGAAAGAACAAGUUCAGAUACCUUGAAAAAAAAUUAGAGCAACAAAUACCUUUUAGCAUAAAAAACUAAUGAAAUAAGAGAUUCGGGUCCAGCUACGGUAUAGUGGUGGUACGGUAUUACUAUUACAUCCAGUCGUUGGAUCCAUUUAGAUGGAUGGAUCUAUUAGAAUCCAACUGCUGGAUGCACACCAUAGUUUUCUCCGAGAGAUUCAUAACUGAUUCAAUAAGGUCCACCUAAUUUUGAAUUUUUUUUUAAAAAUUGAAUAUUAAUGUUGAAAACGCGGCGUUCGCUAAAAGGGUACUAUAUUUGCAACUCCCGGACACUCCCACACUCGAUACAAUCCCACUGCCCACCAUAACCCGUUGACGUAAAAACCCUAAUUCGCCCCUAACGCAUUCUCAUUCGCCUCCCUCCUCCUCGCCCUCCACUCACUGUCACACUUCGCCGCUGGCUGCUGUCCUUAUCGCCGUCCUGUCGUCGCCAACAGUUGCAAAACCCCAAGGUUAGCUUCUUAUAUGCAACUUUUUCCAUUUUUCAAUUUUCAUUUCGCUCCAAUUUCUCUAUACAUGCUUCCAUAUAAUAAAGUCACAACAUUUCUCAGCUUUAGAUCACGAAAGAGGCUCAAAGUCCCCAAGUUUGAGUAGACAUAGGCUUAUAAUUAGGUUUAUUGCUUCUGAAAAUAUAAAAAUUCAAUCUUUUUCACAAGUCACCUUAUCUGUCUGAUGUAAGUACGCUUAGGAUUUACGGUGCUGUGGCUUUUUAACUCAUAGCUGUUGUGAAAUUGGUCGCUUGCUGUUAAGUACAGCUGUUCUGUAAGCAUGUGGAGUUGGAAAUUUGUGCUUAAGCAUGAUUUCUCAUAUCUUGAAUGUGUGAAUUAUCAUUUUUGAGUUGUUGUAUUUAUUCUAAAUGUUCGGUUUGAGGAUUAUUGUCCAUUUCUCUCUAGUUUAGUCAUUUUCCCAUUAGAAGUUUAUCUACUCAUGGGAAUGCAUGCAGGGUUAAAGAUGAAGAGGAUGAUAGCUCUUGGAUUUGAAGGUUCGGCUAACAAGAUUGGUGUUGGGGUUGUUACGUUAGAUGGAAGUAUUCUAUCAAAUCCACGCCACACAUAUUUCACGCCACCUGGGCAGGGAUUUCUUCCACGAGAAACUGCUCAACACCAUCUAGAACACGUUCUUCCACUUGUCAAAUCUGCUUUGAAAACUGCUGGAAUAACCCCAGAUGAAAUUGAUUGCCUUUGUUACACCAGGGGUCCGGGCAUGGGAGCGCCACUGCAAGUUGCUGCUGUUGUUGUCCGGGUUCUAUCUCAGCUGUGGAAGAAGCCAAUUGUUGCUGUUAAUCACUGCGUGGCACAUAUUGAGAUGGGGAGGAUUGUGACUGGAGCGGAGGAUCCUGUUGUGUUGUAUGUCAGCGGUGGAAAUACCCAGGUGAUUGCUUAUAGUGAAGGAAGGUAUCGGAUCUUUGGGGAGACUAUCGAUAUUGCUGUGGGUAACUGCUUGGAUCGGUUUGCAAGGGUUUUAACACUGUCCAAUGAUCCAAGCCCUGGAUACAACAUUGAGCAGGUAUGUGAAGAUUGGUUUAUUCAACAUUUUUCUUCUUUUCAGAAGGAUUAAAUCCAUUUAGAUUUUAUAUGUAAUUGUAAAACAUUUAGGUAAGGAAUGAUUUAGACCAGUUGAAUUUUUAAGUCUAUAUCUGGGCCCUACCUGUGAAGUGGUUUAAGCAUGUGUCUCGCAAUUCGAGAAUUGUGUUUCUAUUACCUGCUUAUCUUCUGAUCUUCAUUCAUCAUUUCCUGAAUCAUCAUCAUGGAAAUAUAUACAUGCAUUAGGUUAUUUAUCAAAAAUCUUUGGGUACUGGCUUGUGUUUAAUUCUUCGGUUGGUAGAUUGAGUGAUGGGACAGAAGGUCUUCUAUUUUGAAUUGCCUAAUAUGAUUUUCUUCUUUCCCAGCUGGCAAAGAAAGGGGAAAAGUUUCUUGAUCUUCCUUAUGUUGUAAAAGGGAUGGAUGUCUCUUUUAGCGGGAUAUUGAGCUAUAUUGAAGCAACUGCUGCGGAGAAGCUCAACAAUAAUGAGUGCACUCCUGCAGAUUUGUGCUAUUCCCUGCAGGUUAGUUGCAUUUUUUAUCCUUUAAUCCGUUGGAACAGCAUGAGCCAUAGCUUUAAAGACUGCAAUUAUAUCUAGCCAUUCUUCAUGGUCGUUAUAUGAAUCUAAUUGGAAAUUUACAUUUCGCUUGAUGAUGUGUUACAGGAAACUCUUUUUGCGAUGCUUGUGGAGAUCACGGAACGGGCAAUGGCACAUUGUGACAAAAAGGAUGUUCUUAUUGUAGGCGGUGUGGGUUGUAACGAGCGCUUGCAAGAGAUGAUGAGAACAAUGUGCUCCGAGCGGGGUGGAAGGCUGUUUGCAACGGAUGACCGAUAUUGUGUUGACAACGGAGCAAUGAUUGCGUACACCGGUCUGCUUGCUUUUGCUCAUGGUUCAUCAACUCCGUUAGAGGAAUCAACCUUUACCCAGCGAUUCAGGACGGAUGAAGUGCAUGCAGUCUGGAGAGAAAAAGAAGAUUCAGCUUGCAAGAAUGGUAGUCAUUAAGGAAGCUAGCUGAUUCAGAUGGUAGAUUUAGAGGUAGGAUCAUUCUGGCAGUGCCAGCAGUAAUUUAGUAUUAAGCUUGCGAAUGAAUUUUGAUUAAAGAUGUUGUAAAUUUAAAGUAGGAAGCAAAUUAUUUUGUGUUCAAGCAUUUAAAAUAGUUCGUAUUUUCUUCUUAGUAAUGUACAUCCACAAUUUUAAGGAUGAGUUAUAUAAAGCACUCUUAAUUAUAAUGAGAGAUGGUUUAGCGGACGAUGUUAUUUAUGUUAUCGUAUUACCAUGGACAUACGUUGGUUAAUUUACAACUUCAACUCCACUUAUGAGAUUUUAUUAAAUUAUGCCGAUCGAAAGAAGUUGUUCGCUAAAUUGUAAAUCCGUAAAUAUGAAAAUUUUUAUGGGCUAAUGGGCUUGUUUAGUUGAGAUGAGAUGGAGAAUGAAGGCCAGGCCCAAUUAAGCCCAAAAUAUACACAACGCAGCAAACUAAAAGGGCACGAUCAAUUUCGCAGUUUCCACUUUCCAUAUUCCUCCACACGACUGACAGAAGAAGAAGAAGCAUCGAUCGAAAGAGUUAGCGAGUGUUGACAAAAUAAGUGAAAGGAUGGGGCACACAGGCGAGUUCUUCAGGCGGAGAGAUGGGUGGAGAAAGCAUCCACUGCUGACGAGCAAUCUGCGUCAAGCCACCCCAGGACUCGGCAUCGCUCUCGUCGCUUUUGGAAUCUAUCUUGUUGGCGAACAAGUCUACAAUAGGGUCAUCGCUCCUUCUCCUUCUCAUUCUCACCACACCCACCACCAGCACUCCGCUGCGUCCUCUUCUCACUGAAGCUCUUCAGCUCUCCUGCUUCUCUCAGGUCUGUUGUUGAAUUGAAUUGCCCCCACAUUUGACUGCAAAAAUUUCUCUUUUUCUUUUCUGGGUUAUAUUGUUUAAUAACAUUUUGUUAGGUUUGUUUUCGGUGUGAUUUUUUGAGAUUUGGGGUUUUGCUGUGGAUUUUAUGAUAUGGGUAUGUGAUAAAUUUUUAGGUUUUUCUUAGUUUAGUUUAACAAUCUGGUCAGAUUCAUCCAUCGUGCUUCAGCUGCUGACCCUACACAUUUGAGAAUAAAUUCAUCUUCUUGCCUGUUUUUGAUAGAAUUAGCAUUCGUCUGUCUUUUUUUUAUUUAUUUAAAUUAUGAUAUGUUUGUUAACCAUGCGAGUCUGUGUAAAAUUUUGGAUUUUAUGGGUUUUUUGUGAAAUGAAUAUGUCUGAAAUUUAUGUUUUUAUUGAUAUUAAGAUCUAGACGGGUUCACCUGCUCUCUGGCCAGCUGGGUAGUACACUUCAUUUCUUUUGCAUUUUAUGUAUUAUGCUUAUUUCCUUGCUAUUGGUGCUAGAUUUCGGAUUUUCUGGUACUUUAUGACGUGUUUGUAUCUAGUUUAGGUUUUUAUUUGUAUUAUGGCCACAUUGGUUUCAUUGCUCUCAUCAUUUCUGAUUGCUAAGUCAUACUCAUUUGAUGUGCAUCAUAUGGUUAUUGUCUUGUUUAUUCACAUGAUCUUUAGUUGAGCCAAAUGUGUAGAGUUGUUACUGUUCAACAGGGGUUUCUAUUUAGUAAUCACUCCAUGUGAAGCAGUCCCUCUUUUUCCUUAUGCAAUGUUGCUGCUAUUUCAUUCAAUUUGACUAUGAUUUUGUUGUUUAUAGCUAAUUGAUCAUCAUUGAUGGAGGAAUGUUAGGAAAUUAAGUUGUAUUAAAUACUAAAUAUAGACAAUUUGGUUAGGCAUAAGACGAAUGGAAAAUGUUUGUUCUUAGAUGCUGGGCAGUAAGUUAUUUACUUACACUGAUGAAGUUAUAACUAACACUAGUUUCAUAUGGCUGAGUGAUUUACUUGUAUGGUUAUUUUAUCUGUUGGGAAUGCAGUUGUGGGGAUUAGCUGGUUCCACCGGCAAGUUCUUUUUCACUUUGAUGGGGUGUGUUAGGAAUGAAUGACAUUCAAACUGUGGAUUUGAUGCCAGGGGCUUUUCAACUCUAUGGAGGGCAGGGGAUAAGGGUCGCAAAGAACACCUUGGAGAUUGUCAUUUCUAGGAUGAGCAAUAAUACCCUUCUGAAAAUUCAUUGGUUUGUCAGUGUUUGAUUUAUGACCAUCCGAUUUCUGAUCCUACAAUUUUUUGGGCUAAUUUAGAAAUCAUAUGGUGUUAAAUACUGUAUCUUAUUUGGUAGUAUUUUACGAAAUAAUAUACGAAAUAAUAUUUGCUUAUGAUUGACUUUACAAAACAAUAUCCGGUGUGCUUGUAUUAACCCUGCUGUGUUUUCGGAAGGCUUGCAAGUAAUUUUACAGUACAGAGGGCUGCUUUGUUAUUCUGUUAGUUGGUUAUUGAUGUAGAACAGGCCGUAGCUUGGACAGUUUUUUCUUUAUUUUAAGUUUUUUUUUUUUUUUUUUAAUUCUGUCUGUAGAACUUUAUUGUGUUAAAAUAAUUUGAAUUUACACAGUUUGGUAAAUUCACGUUAUUUAGUGUUUUAGUAUAAAAGGGAGCUGAACCCUAUUUGUUUUGGUUGGUUGAUUCAUAAUAUUAAAAAAAAAAAUCUUUUUGAGAAGAUUUGUUCUUUCUUUACUUUCAUGUUGUGUCAGUUAUCCCCAUUAAAGUUUACAAUUGCCCUUUAUUAUUCUUUGACGAGGAGCUUUUGCGAAUCUGUGAUUUAAGCUGACAGAAUUGUUACAUGCAAAUUUAAUAUGACCAAACAGAUCCUCUAUCUAGCCCUCCUAGUUAUGUAUCUAUCUUGAUUAUUUUCUUAAUAGGUGGCUGAAGAUGGUGGUCACAUGUUGGAAGAGGAUUGAAGUUUGGACCUGUUUUCAUUUCCCAUUUUGUUAUUUGAUUUAAUAAGAUCAACUUUGCCAUGUUUAGUGUUACUUUGUUGUGUAUUAAGUUUAGUGUGUUAGACUUGAUCUGAUAUGUAGAUGUUUAAUCUUUUGCUUUUGAUAUCGUUAUGCAUUCAAUGGCUCUACAUUUGGUGCCUGAAAUGUUUCGAAUAAAGAAGUUUCCUUAUAUAAAUAUGUUGUCUUAUUUAUAUAUUUUUUGAUCAAGUUUUCUAUUUUUAUGCAUGACGUUUUUAUGGUUCGUUUCCUUAAUUUAAUUUUUUUGUACCAGUCAUUGAAAAAAGGAAUGUAACUUAAAAUGAUGACUUAAAUUUUCAUUCGUUUCAUUUCAUUCAAUCUAAAGGUGUAUAUUUUUUUGUCAAAAAUCUGCAAUGAGUCACCUUUAUUCUUGUAUUAUUCAAAUGAAUAGAUCAGCCGAAUGAAAGUUUAAUUAAAAGAUUGAAUAGAUUAAAUGGAUGAAAAUUGAAGUAAAAUGUUGAAGUUAAGGAGCCCUAAAAGUUAUAGAAGAAACUCGAUGAGAGUAACGUUGAAAAUAUGUUAUCUGUUAUGGUUAAAAAUAUGUUAUCCGUACUUUAAGAACUUUCGGAUUUUUAUGUAUGUGUGUGUAGUUCUUUUCUAAUGCAAGUGUCUUCAUUUUUUUUUAUAUCCAGACACAUUUUUUAAAUCAUAAGAUUUAAGAGAGUUAGGUUGUGUUUGUUUUUUUAUUUGAAAUUUGAAUAGGUAUGAAUUUAACUGAAGUCUGAAUAGGUCUGAAUGAAAAUAUCUUAGUGAUAUAUUGUUUUUUUGUUUUCAACAUCUAAAGAGAGAGAUUUAAAAGAUAGGAGUUUGACAUAAAUAUCAUUUUAAGUGGUGCAUAUAUUUGUUCUUCACAAUUUAUGAUUUUCACAGGUUGAUUAAUUUGGUAGCAUUAAAAAAAAAUACUAUCAUUGUUGAUCUUAAUUUAAUUUUUUAAUAAAAAAAUGUAAUAAUAACAUCAAAUUUUAUUAUAAAAUCAAAACUGUUAUUUUAUUUUUUAUUUAUCACAAUGGACAUAUUUUAAUUUGUUCAAUAUUUCAGUUUAGUUAAUGUUAUCAUGUGAAUAAAAAUUUAAACCAAUUAAAAAAAUAACUUCAAGAAUAAUAUAUAAAUAUUAAGUUUAUACAUAAUAUUGAAAAUACAUGAAUUAUUAAGGGUAUUUUUGAGAUUUGAAAUUGAAAUUUUACAUUUAGACUUCACACUUCAAAUAAAAGUGGAAUUUUUUCUACUUUUUCUAUUCAGAUAAAAUUGUUUGAUAAUAAGUGAUAAGUUAAAAAAAUAAAUAACCUAAAAUAAAUAAAUAUCUGAAAAAAAAUUAAAUUCAGACUUCAGACUAAAAAAUAAAUAGUAUCUUAAUUUUUAAUUAUUUUAAAUCAUAUAAUUUAAGAACGUGUCUGCAUUAUAAAAAAAAAUAUAAACGCUCGUACUUAAAAAUAAUUAUACAAAAGAGUAUGCGUAGAGUGGAAGGAUAUAAUUAUUAUAUCCUGAAUGAACAAACCAACAGGCCAGCUCGAUUUUUAUUAUGAUAAUUCCUAGAGCCGUUAAAUAAGAAAUUUACAGUUUAUGGCGGGGCCUCAUAAUAAAAAAUUAUUAUUUUAACUAGUGGAAAAGAACAAUAUAUUUAAAUUGGUCUUGGAGAAUGGUCGGUGAAUGAAGCCAAAUUAAAUUUGCACGAAAAAUCCAAGAACAUGUGAGACUUGCUGCAAUUAUUGUAUUAUGUGUCCUCCGCUAUAAUUCAAAGCAAAUGAAAUCCGUGACAAUAUAUAUGUAAUCAAGUAGCUGGUCCAAGGCGCAUUAAAAAAAAGGGGUAGCUGGUCCAAGGGCAAGUUGUGAAUUAUUCCAAUAUAAAAUUAUUUGAUUGUUAACGACGUUUUUUUAUUUAAAAUUAUAAAAUUAUUUUAAUAGAUAAGUAUAUUAAAAUUAUAUUAUUAAAGGAAUGAAAUAAAUAAGAAUAUUUUAAAAAAAUCUAUUUUUUUAAUAUAAAAACUCUACAACUUCAAAAGUCUAAAAACUUAAACUUUUGUUAAUAAAAAUAAAAUAAUUUAUUUAAUCUCUAAAAAUUCAACUCAAAAUUCGAUCAAACAAUACUAAAAAUUUUAAAAAGAUCUUUAAAAACGAAAUAAAUAUUUUUAAGCAUUAAAAAAGUUAUAUUAAACAUGCACUUAUUACAUAUAUAGACGGAUUAAACAUGCACUUAUACGAGGAACAUUACCCAGCCCCUGGGGACUUGGAACUCAUAUCCUAAAUGUUGAGGGCAUGCGUUCUCACCUAUGCCCCUAGAGGGAAGUCACUUAUCUAUGACGGUUACUUUGCCAUAAAUAUCUGUUUACGGAAGAGCAAUAUUCACCAUACAAAACCUCUAGUUGGAUAAGCCCUCUCCUUUUAACUUUUUUUUUCGAUUUUUUGAAUACACACACACACACACACGCACACAAAUCAUAAUUGAAGCGCCAUCGAUAUAAUUAGGAGAACUUGCAACGAGAGAAGCUGCUGGCAUCUCCCAAACAAGCUUGAAAAAGUAGUCAGUAAGAGUUGUGCACAGGAAAAAAAAAAAAAAAAGCAUGGGAAAUAAUAAUGUGAUGGGAUUGGGAGGUGGUGUCUUAGCAGCGAUCAUAGUGUCAAUAUUGGCUGCAUCUAGAAGCUUUGAAUGCAUCUAGAAGUUUUGAAUAAACAAGUUUUUUGCACACGGCUUUGAAGAUUGAAAAUGCCGAAAUUGUUGAGGAAGAAAGAAGACUUUGGCAGCUGCAAAAGAGGAAGAAGAAUGAAGAAAAAUCAAAGGCGGUUUAAAAUAUAAUAAUAUUUUAAAAGCCAAUUUUGGCUAUAUAAAGGGAGCUCUUCAUUUGGUUUUUAGCAUCUAAUUCCAUCGAGAGAGAAGCAUUGUCUUCCUUUAGAGUUGAGAGUUUUAAGAGUUUAAUAAACUUUUGAGUGUCUAGUGAGUUAGAGAGUUUGGGUGUAUUGGGGUUUUGGGAAGUGAGCUAAAAUACUACAACACUUGUAACUCCUUUUCACUAGUAAAAUAUUUCAUUCUGUCUUCGCCCGUGGAUGUAGGCUAAAAGCCGAACCACGUAAUUUUUGGUGUCCUCUAUUGUGCUUGUUCUUUAUUUUAUUUCCAAUUUUAUUUUAGCUGUGGUCCUGCUGCACCUACCAAUUCCCUAACAGUGGUAUCAGAGCUAUUGGUUGUAUUUUUGGAGUCAGGAACUGUUCACGUAAGGGGUACUAUUCACGUAUACGGCACCGUACACGUAUACGGUACUGUUCAUGUACACGGUGUUGUUCACAUAGACUGAACUAUUCACGUAUACGGUACUAUUCACGUGAAGCGGUGGAAGCGAUCCAAGAAUUUUGCGGUGCAAAGCAGGGAAUAGUGGUGUGAGUAAAGCAACUGUGUGGUUUUGUACAUGUCUAGGAAAGUUCUGUCACAAAGGCGAUAAGAGCUUAAGGAGUCUGGGUUUUAAGUGGGACCAUUGUGACCCCUCCAGUCUUUCCUGGGAACUUUCCUGGUGUGCAUUCUUACACAUACUCACAACUAUUCAAGGUGGUAUACUUGCUUGUGUGCAGUAUUUAUCAACAAAAUGGCGGCAAAGUAUGAAAUUGAGAAAUUUAACGGAAAUAAUUUUUCGUUGUGGAAAAUGAAGAUGAAAGCUGUAUUGAGGAAAAAUAAUUGCUUGGCAGCAAUUGGAGAAAGACCCAUGGAGAUAACUGAUGACAAGUGGAACGAGGUAGACGGCAACGCCAUUUCUGAUCUACACUUGGCACUUGCAGACGGAGUAUUAUCCAGUGUGGCAGAGAAAAACACAGCGAAGGAAAUAUGGGAUACUCUCACAAAAUUGUAUGAGGCCAAGUCACUACACAACAAAAUCUUCUUGAAGAGAAAACUCUAUACUCUUCGAAUGGCAGAAUCUACAAUGGUGACCGACCACAUCAACACAUUGAAGACUCUAUUUUCACAACUCACAACGUUGGGUCAUAAUAUAGAGGAAAAUGAACGUGCAGAGCUUCUACUUCAAAGUCUACCAGAUUCGUAUGAUCAACUCAUCAUCAACCUAACGAACAACAAUCCAGUGGAGAGUCUAGUUUUCGACGAUGUUGCAGCCUCCGUAUUAAAUGAGGAGAGCAGGCGGAAAAAUAAGGAAAACAGACAAGCAAGUUCGCAGCAAGCGGAGGCGCUAUCAGUGACGAGAGGGAGAUCAACGGAACGUGGCCCCAGUGGGAGUCAAAAUCAGGGUAGAUCAAAAUUCAGAGGUAAGAAGAAUGUUAAAUGCUACAACUGUGGCAAGAAAGGGCACGUUAAGAAAGAAUGUUGGAGUAACCAGAAGAGAAGAGAGGGCAAAGAACCUGAGACAUCAAAUGCUCAGGGGUGUGUAGCAAGUACCUCGGAUGAUGGCGAAAUUCUCUACAGUGAGGCAACAACUGUUUCAGAAGGCAGAAAACGACUUUCUGAUGUCUGGCUUAUAGACUCAGGAGCUACCUGGCACAUGACCUCUAGGAGAGAAUGGUUCCACACAUAUGAACCUAUCUCAGGAGGAUCUGUAUAUAUGGGUAACGAUCAUGCCUUGGAGAUCGCUGGUAUUGGUACUAUCAAAAUAAAAAUGUUUGAUGGUACAAUUCGCACAAUUGGAGAGGUACGACAUGUCAACGGCCUGAAGAAAAAUCUAUUGUCUUUGGGACAAAUGGAUAGUCAUGGGUACAAAACUCAUGUGGAGAAUGGAAUUAUGAAGAUCGUUAAAGGCGCGCUUGUAUUGAUGAAGGUAGAAAAGAUCGGUGCUAAUCUAUUCAUGCUUAAAGGAGAAACACUACAGGAGGCUGAUGCGUGUGUCGCAUCAAAUGGAGAAGAGUCAACGAUGAUGUGGCAUCUCAAACUUGGCCACAUGUCGGAACAAGGUUUGAAGAUUCUCUCUGAGCGAAAAUUGCUUCCAGGGCUCAAAUCGGUAAGUUUACCAUUUUGCGAGCAUUGUGUUACAAGUAAGCAGCAUAGAUUAAAAUUCAGUAGAUCUAUUGCUAGAAGUAAAUGCAUUCUCGACUUGAUUCAUUCUGAUGUUUGGGAAUCACCGGAUAUAUCCAUGGGAGGUGCAAAGUACAUGGUGACUUUCAUUGAUGAUUAUUCCAGAAGAUGUUGGGUGUAUCCAAUUAAGAAAAAGUCAGAUGUAUUUCCUGUGUUUAAAGAAUACAAAGCGUGGGUGGAACUUGAAUCUGGUAAAAAGAUCAAGUGCUUGAGGACAGAUAAUGGUGGAGAAUAUACAGACGGCGAGUUUCUUGCUUUCUGUAAGCAAGAAGGUAUUCAGAGACAGUUCACGGUGGCAUACACUCCUCAACAAAAUGGAGUGGCAGAACGGAUGAACAGAACUCUUACAGAAAGAAUAAGAGCUAUGUUGAGGACUGCUGGUCUACCCAAUUCAUUCUGGGCAGAAGCAGCCAAAACUGCCUGUUAUAUAGUAAAUCGGUCGCCAUCUACAGCUAUUGGGUUGAAGACAGCGAUGGAGAUGUGGACUGGAAAGCCAGCUGAUUAUUCCUACCUACAUGCAUUUGGAUGUCCUAUGUACGUGAUGUACAAUGCCCAAGAAAGAACAAAGCUGGAUGCAAAAUCUAGAAGAUGUAUCUUCUUGGGGUAUGCUGAUGGAGUAAAGGGGUAUCGUCUGUGGGACCCCACUGCCCAUAAGAUCGUCAUCAGCAGAGAUGUUAUCUUUGUAGAAGAUCAACUGCAAAGAAAAGAUGGAGAUGAUGGCACUGUAAAAGAAAAGUCUGAGACUGUGCCAGUAUAUGUCGAAAAUAAUCCAGAAAAUUCAGAUUCUUCUGAAGCAGCACCAGAGCACGAGGAACAAGAACCAGUCGAGUCCGAGGCUCCAGAAGUUCGUCGGUCAACUCGUGAGAGACGACCGCCAACGUGGCACUCGGAGUAUGUCACAGAGAUCAAUGUUGCAUACUGUCUUCUAACAGAGGAUGGAGAGCCUUCAACUUUCCAUGAAGCUUUAAACAGUUCAGAUGUUGCUUUGUGGAUGACAGCAAUGCAGGAAGAAAUUGAAGCUCUACACAAGAACAAGACAUGGGAACUUGUACCACUACCACGUGGAAGAAAAGCCAUUGGAAACAAAUGGGUCUACAAGAUCAAACGUGAUGGUAAUGACCAAGUGGAGCGGUAUCGUGCGAGAUUGGUGGUGAAAGGAUAUGCUCAGAAAGAAGGUAUUGACUUCAAUGAGAUAUUUUCUCCGGUGGUUCGACUCACAACAGUCAGAAUAGUCUUGGCAAUGUGUGCCACAUUUGACCUACAUCUAGAGCAGUUAGAUGUGAAAACUGCAUUUCUUCAUGGAGAACUUGAAGAAGAAAUAUAUAUGCUCCAACCAGAAGGUUUUGCAGAAACAGGAAAGGAGAACUUGGUUUGCAGGUUGAACAAAUCUCUAUACGGUCUCAAACAGGCGCCGAGGUGUUGGUAUAAGAGAUUUGAUUCCUUCAUCAUGAGCCUUGGAUACAACAGACUCAGUUCAGACCAUUGUGCAUAUUACAAGAGGUUUGAAGAUAAUGAUUUCAUCAUUUUGUUGUUGUAUGUGGAUGACAUGUUGGUAGCAGGUCCCAACAAAGAUCGAAUCCAAGAAUUGAAGGCACAGUUGGCUAGGGAGUUUGAAAUGAAGGACUUGGGACCAGCAAACAAGAUUCUAGGGAUGCAAAUUCACCGAGACAGAAAUAACAAGAAGAUUUGGCUUUCGCAGAAGAAUUAUUUGAAGAAAAUCUUGCGGCGCUUCAACAUGCAAGAUUGUAAGUUAAUUUCUACCCCACUUCCUGUUAAUUUCAAAUUAUCCUCAAGUAUGUGUCCUAGUAAUGAAGCAGAGAGGAAGGAGAUGUCUCGAGUACCGUAUGCAUCAGCGGUGGGAAGUUUAAUGUUCGCUAUGAUAUGUACAAGACCGGACAUUGCACAAGCAGUGGGAGCAGUCAGUCGAUACAUGGCGAAUCCUGGUGGAGAGCAUUGGAUAGCUGUGAAGAGGAUUCUGAGAUACAUCAGAGGAACCUCAGAUGUUGCAUUAUGUUAUGGAGGAUCAGAGUUUACUGUCAGAGGCUAUGUAGAUUCAGAUUUUGCAGGAGACCUUGAUAAAAGGAAAUCCACUACUGGUUAUGUGUUUACACUUGCGGGAGCAGCUGUAAGCUGGGUUUCAAAACUGCAGACCGUUGUGGCUUUAUCUACAACAGAAGCAGAAUACAUGGCAGCUACACAAGCUUGCAAGGAAGCUAUUUGGAUACAAAGAUUAUUGGAGGAGCUCGGGCACAAACAACAGAAAAUUCCUGUGUUUUGUGACAGUCAGAGUGCCUUGCACAUUGCAAGGAAUCCAGCCUUUCAUUCCAGGACAAAGCACAUAGGAGUCCAGUAUCACUUCGUUCGUGAAGUAGUGGAAGAUGGAAGUGUGGAUUUGCAGAAAAUCCAUACCAAAGAGAACCUAGCAGAUGUUUUGACCAAGCCGAUAAAUACUGAUAAGUUUGUCUGGAGUAGAUCCUCUUGUGGCCUAGCAGAAACGUAGGCAACAUGAUUAUGGCGAAGCAGAAAGGAUGGUGUGGAGAUUGAUUGAUUUUUCAAUUUAAUCUCCAAGUGGGAGAAUGUCAAUAUUGGCUGCAUCUAGAAGCUUUGAAUGCAUCUAGAAGCUUUGAAUAAACAAGUUUUUUGCACACGGCUUUGAAGAUUGAAAAUGCCGAAAUUGUUGAGGAAGAAAGAAGACUUUGGCAGCUGCAAAAGAGGAAGAAGAAUGAAGAAAAAUCAAAGGCGGUUUAAAAUAUAAUAAUAUUUUAAAAGCCAAUUUUGGCUAUAUAAAGGGAGCUCUUCAUUUGGUUUUUAGCAUCUAAUUCCAUCGAGAGAGAAGCAUUGUCUUCCUUUAGAGUUGAGAGUUUUAAGAGUUUAAUAAACUCUUGAGUGUCUAGUGAGUUAGAGAGUUUGGGUGUAUUGGGGUUUUGGGAAGUGAGCUAAAAUACUACAAUACUUGUAACUCCUUUUCACUAGUAAAAUAUUUCAUUCUGUCUUCGCCCGUGGAUGUAGGCUAAAAGACGAACCACGUAAUUUUUGGUGUCCUCUAUUGUGCUUGUUCUUUAUUUUAUUUCCAAUUUUAUUUUAGCUGUGGUCCUGCUGCACCUACCAAUUCCCUAACACAUAGUUAUGAUGAUACUCUUCUUCACAGCGAAUCAAUCUUGUGCUGCAGGCAACGGCACCAACAUUACUAAUUUCCAUAUUGAUCCUGAUGUGUUGUUCUUUUAUGAUGAUCCAGAAUCGGAAUUGGCUGCUGCCGCGACUGCAACAAACGUAUUGAAUAUGAAAUCCUUGAAGCUGCCUCCGGUGUUCGAUUGCGGAAAAGGCCAAGGCCCAGCCUAUCGCUCUUGUACCCCUCCUCCCCAGGGUUCCAAAAGGGGUGAACAUUGCCCACCUAACGGCGCGUACAAUCGAGGGUGCCAUUAUUAAGCCUUAAGUCUGCACUGCUGCAUCCAUGCAUAUGCAUUAAUAAAUAAAUUAAUUGAAACUUGUAAUUUGAUUAGCACUAAUUAAUUCGUUGUUAAAUUAGCUAAGGUUACUCCAUCUUGAUGCUAUCGUUCAUGUUCACUCAUUUCAAUUCUACCAUACUCGUCCUGAAUUUAUUAACUUUCCAUGUGCGUGCGUAUUAACAGCCUGGAGAAGUAAUUAAUUAAUUGAUUAACCAUUGAUGGCAUUUUGCAUGACCUACUCUUAAUUACCGGCCUCUCGAAGGGAAACCCGCUACGAUAUAAAUCAAACAACUGAACGUACAACUUCAUUACAUUUCCCGCAAUAAUGCCUAACAUUCAAUGAUUUAUCUGCUCCCUCCCAUCAUGCCUUAAUUAAUUGUUACCACAACAUCAUCCCGAAUUUUGUAAUUACAAUUAAUUAUAUAUGUUAGCUAUUUUUCUUUUUAAUAAAUAAUUUUACAGACACAGACACAAUUAGCGUGGCAUAUGGGAGGAUGUUUAGUUGAAACUUGGAAGCGAUAUCAAUUAAUCCAUCAUGCUUUUGUCCAACUUCUACAGAUCUUCACGAUUAUGAAAUCUAUUAUUUCUUUUCCAUUCACUUCUUGUGAUACAUUGUCCGCCCCACGUGUUAGCCUUUAAUUAUGCCAUCUUGCAACAUAAAGCCCAUUGUUUGAGAAUUAAUCUCAGUUAAAGGGGCAGCUGAGACUUGAGCCAUGAACUUUGAUGGUCACGUAGGUGGUGUCGUCCAUGUGCCAAGUAUAAAUCAAUCAAGCUUUUAAGUAAUUAUUGGUUGGGCGAAAAUGAAAGCAAAGUGCAUAUUUAUGACUAGCUGUAGAAGAGAGCGAAAGGGCAGAACGAGCGUAUAAAGGGAGCUUUCGAUGACUUGGCUCAAAUAAAGGCAGUUUUAUAUUUAUACACGGAUGGUGCAGUCAGUGACUUGACUAUAUGUGUAUUUCCUUGUUUUUUUUUUUUCUUUUUAAAUACCCAAAACUAAAAAACAGGGCAUGCACUCUGUUUAUAUUUCUAUGAAAUCGUUGUUCAUUAAGCAAAUUUCUUCCUCUAAGUUCAGAUAAUUUCAUGAUUUGUCACUGACUGCACCCAAUAAAAAGAUAAAGAAUCAAAAGGACAUAUUUUAUGUGUAAAUACACAUCAAAUCUCUUUUAUCAAUCAAAAUUUUAUUAUUAUUAAUAAAAUAGGCUGUAUAGCAUAUUCUAUUUUCUCCCUCAGCUAAGAUACUAAUAUAUUACCAAAUUAAUUCGUAAACGGAAAUUAAGAAAGUUAGAUCUCCAGUGAUUGUCCGUGCAAUCUCUGACUUGGCGGCACUGGAUUUUAUCAAUGCUUCGUUGUUAAAAUUUCCCGUGAAGGACGUAUAAAUUGCUGCCAUGGUGAUCUUUGCAAAGGAUGUGACCAUUGCUGCGCUGGAUAAUACUGCUGGGGAUGUGAACAUUGCUGUGCUGGGUAUAAAAUGCAAGGGAUAUGAAUGUAAUUGGAGAUCGUUUUCAUUUUUGUUUGUCGUUUUCGCUUUUUCAAGGUUGGUAAAUGGAGAGUGAAGAAACAGCAGAUCAUCGAGGAGGAUUCACUAACUUUCGUGAAUUUAGAGAGGGGUUUCCUUGAGAUUAUGUGCUUGUUUGGUACGACUUAUUUAAUGGUCACAAGUGAAGUACUUAUUUAAUAUCAUCAGCUCUUAUUUUAAUUUUCGUUAUUGUUUAGUUGUUUAUUUAAUAGAGCAUUUGAAAUUUAAAUAAGUUAUUUUGUCUUUUUUAACAAAACCUCAAAUUUUUUUGGGCAUAGGACGAAUGAAAAACAUUUGUUCUUGGAACACCUUUUCCUAGUUUCAAAUAGAAGUGAGAGAGAGUUGAUGCUAAAAAGACCGCCAGACUUAUAUUUUUCCAUGAGAAUUAUGUGUUAUGUGGAACUAAUUUUAAUUUACUUUCGUGAUCUUGUUACAAUGUUAGCUCUUUGUUCAUGAAUUGAUUAAUACUUGUUUCUUUUUACUCAAAAGUCUUCAUCUUAUUAACUUGCAUCAUCUUUUUCUUCUUCUUUUUCUCCGCGUGGUCUUCAAUCACCUAGUUUCUCUCCUAUAGGAUGAGCAUUAAUACCCAUCCGAAAAUGCAUUGGUUUGUCGCUGUUUGAUAAAUGACAAGCGGAUUUCUCGUCCCACAAUUUUUUUGGUCCAAAUGAGAAAUAAUAUGGUAUCAACUACUGUAUCUUGACUGGUAUUAUUUUAAGAAAUAGCAUUUGCUUACUAUUUGACUUAACAAAACAAUAUCCAGUGCGCUUGUAUUAACCCUGCUGCGUUUUUUUCACAAUAUCUAUUUCUAUUCUUUGCUGAGGACUUUUGUGAAUCUGUGAUAUAAGCUGGCGGAAUCGCUGCAUCCAAAUUUAAUAUGAGAAAACAUAUCCUCAAGCUAGCCCGCUUAACGCGUAGCGGAUAUUAGUAAUAAGAAUGACCAUAGCACAGCCACAGAAACGGCGCAGCCCCAUUCUAUCAUUUUUGUGCCCCCUCCUCAAACUUUUUUGAUAUCACUCUUUAUUUCACCAUACUCUAUUUUGAUUAAUUCGAUUUAUUUCUCAAAUUACUCCCAUUAAAAAUAUUUUAUCUCUAUUGUUUCUCACUUGCUCUUCUCAUUAUAUUUCAACUAAUGGUACAACAAUCGAAAUGGAAAAUUUAGAAUCAAAAUCAAUGACAUGUUUACUUGCAAAAUUAAGGUUUGGGAUUGGAACUGAAGUAGUGUCGGACCCACAAAUUUGAGAAUCACUACCAUAGCUCUGAUUCCAAAGCGAGGGGUUUGGAAUCUGAAUUCGAUUUCUAUAACUACCCAUUUUACUCCCAUUAAACUUUUAUAAUCUCUAAAUUACUCUCAAGUAAGUUAUGUCAUUUUUUUCUUUUUGGUUCCCAUGGAAUUUAUCAAACAAACUCAAAUUUCUUGAAUUAUUUGCAAAUAGGUCCUUUAUUGUUUAUAAUAAUGUAAUAAUAAUAUUAUAUUAUUAUCAUUAUUAUAUUUAAAAUUUAUUUAUUUUAUUAUUUUAAUUAUUAUUAUUGUCAUUAAUUUCAUCAUCAUCAUCAUUUCAUCAUCAUUAUUAUUAAUUUUUUUUUUAUUUUUCUUUUAGGAAAACAUGGUACACAUAAAUAGCUAGACAAAGAGAAUCUCUUAUAUAUAUCAAGAGAUCUUACAAGUUAAAUUGAACCAAAUUGAGACCAUCAUACAAUUGACGGGUAAUAACAGUACCCAUACUUUUAUUUUCUUAAACAUAACAUAAGAGACUAAUACUGCAUAUUCUUAACCAGUGUGAUCAGGGUUUCUUCCAUAUUGCGGGACCACAAGAAGAUCAAUAUUUCCAUUAAUUUCAUCAUCAGCAAUAAGUGAAAAAGUUGUGGCUAUAAGCCCCUCCGACCAAUCGGUAUAACCUGAAAAAUUCAUGUUAUAAAACUUAAUCACAAAUACACAUAUUAAAAUAAGAAUUAUAAAUGACAUUUAUUUGAAAAUGGAUGGCCUAUGUAUAAACCUGCGCAAGGAGUUCCCAUAAUCUUCAAAUCAGGAAGGCAAACGAUUUCUGCUGGCUUCGACUGAACCGUAUUCAAAACUCAAAAGGUAAGUAGUUGUGCUUGAGCGAGUUCUUAUUUCUGGUUUGAUCUGAUAUAUAUAGAUCAAGUAGCCGACACUACGGUGCCAACGUGGCAAAGUAACAAGUUGUGCAUGGUAAAGAUAAUGGAUCAAUGGUUCUAAUUUAAUCGUACAAUAAGUAGGGAAGGUCAACAGCUCUAUAUGGUUAAGUUAGUGCAUGUGUGAUACAUGAUUCAAAAAAUAAAUAAUUCUAAAUACGAAGGACACGAGCAAAUAAAGUAAUAAAUGCAAUUACCAAAUAAUAGUGCGUGGUAUACUAUAGAUAAUGGAUCAACCAUUCAGAUUUCAUCAUACAAUAAGUAGGUAAGAUUAACGGUUAGUGUUAAAUCAUUGCAUGUGCGAAACAUGGUCCACAAAAUAAAUAGUAGUAAACAAGAAAGACGAAUAAAGUAAUCAAAUACCAUGUCAUCAGAUAAAAAGAAAAAAAGAAAGGUAUACAUACCAUUACGAAACAAUUGCUUGGUAAAGAUAACAGAUUUACCGCUGAAGUCUGAUAAUUGUAAGAUUAACGGCUAUAUAUGGUUCAACUGCAUGUGUAAAUAAAGUAUGAAUGAAUGGGUCCAGGAAAUAAAUAAGAAGACCACAAGCAUAGUGGUCUAAAAAAUAAAUAAGAAGCGAACUGACGAUACAUAUAGAUCAAGUAGAUCAAGUAGCCGACACUACGGUGCCACGUAUCAAAUAAACAAGUCGUGCAUGGUAAAGAUAAUGGAUCAACGGUUCUAAUUUAAUCGUACAAUAAGUAGGUAAGAUUAAGGGCUCUAUAUUGUUAAAUUAUUGCACGGGCGAAAUAUGGUCCAAAAAAUAAAUAGUUGUAAAUAAGAAAGACGAACAAAUUAAGUAAUUAGUACCACUACCGAACACAGUGCAUUGGAAGGACUGGCUUUCUUCCUUUUUAUGAGAGCAAAGAACGAAAUUUUGUAAUAGUUUUACUUAACAGCUGAAAGUUAAUUUCAUUUUUAUAUCUUUCUUUUCCUUCUUUAUUUUUUAUAUUUUUCUGUUAUUAUUAUAAUUUUUCUUUUAUGUCAGUACGAGAGGCGUGUAAUGUUUUUGGUUUACUAAACCCUUAAUUCUCUUUCUAUUCAACAUCAAAUCUAACUAUCCUUGUAAAGCUUUAAAAUAGUCGAUUAUAGUUAAUUAUUUGAAAAAUAAUAACUAAAGUAAAUAAGUAUUUUUUUUUUUUUGGUGUAUUAAACUAUCUGGUAUCUAAAGACUACAUUGGGCCCCGACUAAUUUAGAUUCGAGACAGGCAGGACCAUUGAGGCGCCAAAGCUCUCCCAACAAGUAUUUAACACAACUGUACUCCCAAGUCUCGAACUGAGGACUUUGGUUAAGUUAAAACAACUCUAUGCCAACUGAUUUACGCGCUUGUCAGAUGUAAAUAAGCAUUUUAGUUAUCACAAUUAAACUCUUCUUUAGCAUUUAAUAGAAGUAGUUCUAUGAGCAUGGGUUUCGAGAGAGCAUGGCGGUGCGAAAAUGUUCGUGCGUUUACAGUCCCUAUGUUUUUAGUCAUAAUUUAUUUAGAUAUAGACAAAGACCCCUAAUGUUUAAAAAAUAGACACACAAAUGGCCCUUUUGAUUAUUUCACUCUUUGGUUCUAUUUAGCCAACGAAAAUUAAUUUCAAUCUAUUGUUCUAUAAUAAAUAUAAAUAUAGUAUUUAAAUCAGUGUAAUAAAUAAAUACAUUUUACAAUACAUAAACGUUAUUUGAGUUCUUUGCAAGAAUUAGCUAACCACUAUGCGGAGUUUGUUUAAGAAAAAUAUUGAAGAAGAGACAGCAUAAUUAAGCUGAUAGUAGAUAUAUAGCUAGACAAAGUUAAUCGACGUUAACAAACUGAUACACAAUACUUUUUUUAUUUAUUUUCUUAAACCUCGUUCACAAACAGAAUAUGUUUUUACUUUCAAUGGUACAUCAAUUUCUUGGAAGUCUACAAAACAGACUCUCGUUGCAACAUCCUCCAACCAUUCUGAAAUUCUUGCACUACAUGAAGCAAGUCGAGAAUGCAUAUGGUUGCGAUCUGUAAUCCAUCAUAUUCAAAGUACCUGUAGAAUAUCUUCAAGUUCAGAUAUCCCAACAGUGAUAUAUGAAGAUAAUGCUGCAUGUAUAGCUCAACUCAGAGGAGGAUACAUUAAAGAGGACAGAACAAAACAUAUUUCGCCGAAAUUCUUCUACACUCAUGAGCUCCAAUAGAACAAGAAGAUUGAUAUCAAACAGAUACGCUCCACGGAAAAUUUAGCUGAUAUGUUUACAAAAGCUCUACCUACAUCUACAUUCGAAAAAAUCGUAUAUGGUAUCGGCAUGCGUCGUUUUAACAAACUGAUAAAUUAAUGCAUGUUGCCUUUAGGAAGAGCACUCAACAAAAGGAGCGUGAUCUUACAAGAGAAGAAUCAUAGUAAUAUUGGACACAUAUGUACCAUACUCUUUUUUCUUUUUGACCAGGUUUUUCCACUGGAUUUUUACUGGCAAAGGUUUUUAAUGAGGCAGUAUCCAAUGUCAUCAGGGGGAGCACAUCUAAUAAAUAAUUGGUGAAUUCAAGGGGGAGUGUUGUAAAUCAUGGUGGAUUCCACCAAAAUAAUGCCCUCCCACCAAAAUAAGGCUCUCACAUUAUCAUCUUAUUGCUCUUCCCAUUAUCCUUUUUUAUAAUUAAUAAUUAUGAAUAACUCCACCUUGUAAUGCCUAUAUAAACCCUUUCUUUGUUAAUGAAUAAAGACAAUUUCAAUUCCUCGCUCAAGGCAUUUUACUUGUUUUCUUCAAUCUUUAUUUGAGUAUUCCUUACUUACAUAUUCCCAAUUAAAUAAUUACUUACAUACAAUCCCUUUAAAUUAUAACAUCCAUUAUCUCCAAAUUUAUAACAAAAACUUUAUUUUAAGUAGUGGAAAAGAACAGUAUAUUUAAAUUGUUCUCGGAGAAUGGUAGGUGAACGAGGCCAAAUUAAAUUUCCAAGAGCAUGUGAGACUUGCUCAAUUAUUGUAUUGUGUCCUACGCUAUAAUUAAAGCAAAUGAAAUCCGCGACAAUAUACGACAAUAUAUAUAUAUAAUCAAGUAGCCGGUCCAAAGCGCAUCAAAAAAGAAAAAGGGUAGCUGGUCUAAGGGCAAGUUGUGAAUUAUUCCAAUAAAAAAAAGUUGGAUUGUGACAGACAGUACGUAUACUGAGAGGAUGGAUUAGGUCUUUUAACUGUUAUAAAAUUAUUUGAUUGUUAAUGACGUCUUUUAUUUAAAAUUAUAAAAUUAUUUUAAUAAAUAAAUAUACUAAAAAUAUAUUAUUAAAGAAAUGAAAUAAAUAAGAGCAUUUUAAAAAAAUUAAUUAAAAAAAACUCUACAACCUUAAAAGUCUAAAAAUUUAAACUUUUGUUAAUAAAAGUAAAAUAAUUUAUUUAGUCUCUAAAAACUCAACUCAAAAUACGAUCUAACAAUACCAAAAUUUUUGAAAAGAUCUUUAGAAACGAAAUAAAUAUUUUUAGGUAUUAGAUAAGUUAUAUCAAACAUGCACGUAUUACAUAUAUAGAUGGAUUAUAAUUUAAUAUCAACUCCCAUAAUUAUUAGAGUUAAGUCUUCUCUUAUACUAGUAACAUUACCCACCCCUUGGGGACUUGGAACUCAUAUCCUAAAUGUUGAGGGCAUGCGUUCUCACCUAUACCCUUAGAGGGAAGUCACCAUAAAUAUCUGUUUGCGGAAGAGCAAUAUUCACCAUACAAAGCCUCUAGUUGGAUAAGCCCUGUCCUUUUUAAGUUUUUCGUUUUUUUGAUUACCCACACACACACACAAAUCAUAAUUGAAGCGCCAUAGAUAUAACUAGGAGAACUUGCAACGAGAAGCUGCUGGCAUCUCCCACACAAGCUUGAAAAAGUAGCCAGUAAGAGUUGUGCACGGAGGGCAAAAAAAAAAAAAAGCAUGGGAAAUAAUAAUGUGAUGGGAUUGAGAGGUGGUGUCUUAGCAGCGAUCAUAGUUAUGAUGAUACUCUUCUUCUCCGCGAAUCAAUCUUGUGCUGCAGGCAACAUUACUAAUUUCCAUAUUGAUCCUGAUGUGUUGUUCUUUCAUGAUGAUCCAGAAUUGGAAUUGGCUGCUGCUCCGACUUCUAAUAAAGCAUUGGAUCCCAGUCAAGCAUUCGGUUGCGGAAGACCCGGAAGCAUUCGCUCUUGUCCCCCUCAUCCCAAUGCCCCCAAAAAGCCCGAUCAUUGCGCACCUCCCCCCGGCAGCACGUAUGCCCCAGCCAAACGAGAUUGCUAGCUAGUUUAUGAUACAUCUUUAAUCUGCAAUCUUCAUCUUUAUCCUCAACUAUGCCAUGAUGUGGGUUUAUUCUGCAUAUGCAUGUUGUAUUUAAUUUAUAUAAGUAGCUAUAAUUAAUUAAUAAUCUCUCUUUCCCAUCCCUUCUUAAUUCUAUCUGUCUAUAUAUUAUUAAUAAUUAAGCCUUAAGCUUGUACUGCUGCAUCCAUGCAUAAUUGCAUAUGCAUUAAUAAAUAAAUUAAUUGAAACUUGUAAUUUGUUUAGCACUAAUUAAUUCGUUGUUAAAUUAGCUAAGGUUACUCCAUCUUGAUGCCAUCGUUCAUGUUCACUCAUUUCAAUUCUACCAUACUCGUCCUGAAUUUAUUAACUUUCCAUGUGCGUGCGUGUUAACAGCCUGGAGAUGUAAUUAAUUAAUUGAUUAACCAUUGAUGGCAUUUUGCAUCGAGCUGGACCUACUCUUAAUUACCGGCCUCUCGAAGGGAAACCCGCUACGAUAUAAAUCAAACAACUGAACGUACACCUUCAUUAGAUUUCCUGCAAUAAUCCCUAACAUUCAAUGAUUUAUCUGCUCCCUCCCAUCAUGCCUUAAUUAAUUGUUACCACAACAUCAUCCCGAAUUUUGUAAUUACAAUUAAUUAUAUAUGUUAGCUAUUUUUCUUUUUAAUAAAUAAUUUUACAGACACAGACACAAUUAGCGUGGCAUAUGGGAGGAUGUUUAGUUGAAACUUGGAAGCGAUAUCAAUUAAUCCAUCAUGCUUUUGUCCAACUUCUACAGAUCUUCACGAUUAUGAAAUCUAUUAUUUCUUUUCCAUUCACUUCUUGUGAUACAUUGUCCGCCCCACGUGUUAGCCUUUAAUUAUGCCAUCUUGCAACAUAAAGCCCAUUGUUUGAGAAUUAAUCUCAGUUAAAGGGGCAGCUGAGACUUGAGCCAUGAACUUUGAUGGUCACGUAGGUGGUGUCGUCCAUGUGCCAAGUAUAAAUCAAUCAAGCUUUUAAGUAAUUAUUGGUUGGGCGAAAAUGAAAGCAAAGUGCAUAUUUAUGACUAGCUGUAGAAGAGAGCGAAAGGGCAGAACGAGCGUAUAUAGGGAGCUUUUGAUGACUUGGCUCAAAUAAAGGCAGUUUUAUAUUUAUACACGGAGAAAUUAUAAAAGUACAAGUCGUUUUGGGUCAUCUUGAUUUUUGCCCCAGAUCAACUUUUUUUCAAAUAGUUUUAUUUAAGUGGUCAUUCAAAUUCAAAUUCAUGGGGAGAUUAGUAAUAAGAAAAGAAAUUUAGACUUUACCCACCCCUUUAUUUUUAUCAGAAUGAGACUAAGUACAUUAAAACUUAUCAGAUAGAACAAAUUCAGAAUAUUUUGAAGAAUGGCAAUUACAAAGACCGCCAGACUUAUAUUUUUCCAUGAGAAUUAUGUGUUAUGUGGAACUAAUUUUAAUUUACUUUCGUGAUCUUGUUACAAUGUUAGCUCUUUGUUCAUGAAUUGAUUAAUACGUGUUUCUUUUUACUCAAAAGUCUUCAUCUUAUUAACUUGCAUCAUCUUUUUCUUCUUCUUUUUCUCCGCGUGGUCUUCAAUCACCUAGUUUCUCUCCUAUAGGAUGAGCAUUAAUACCCAUCCGAAAAUGCAUUGGUUUGUCGCUGUUUGAUAAAUGACAAGCGGAUUUCUCGUCCCACAAUUUUUUUGGUCCAAAUGAGAAAUAAUAUGGUAUCAACUACUGUAUCUUGACUGGUAUUAUUUUAAGAAAUAGCAUUUGCUUACUAUUUGACUUAACAAAACAAUAUCCAGUGCGCUUGUAUUAACCCUGCUGCGUUUUUUUCACAAUAUCUAUUUCUAUUCUUUGCUGAGGACUUUUGUGAAUCUGUGAUAUAAGCUGGCGGAAUCGCUGCAUCCAAAUUUAAUAUGAGAAAACAUAUCCUCAAGCUAGCCCGCUUAACGCGUAGCGGAUAUUAGUAAUAAGAAUGACCAUAGCACAGCCACAGAAACGGCGCAGCCCCAUUCUAUCAUUUUUGUGCCCCCUCCUCAAACUUUUUUGAUAAUAAUUUUUUAUAUCACUCUUUAUUUCACCAUACUCUAUUUUGAUUAAUUCGAUUUAUUUCUCAAAUUACUCCCAUUAAAAAUAUUUUAUCUCUGUUGUUUCUCACUUGCUCUUCUCAUUAUAUUUCAACUAAUGGUACAACAAUCGAAAUGGAAAAUUUGGAAUCAAAAUCAAUGACAUGUUUACUUGCAAAAUUAAGGUUUGGGAUUGGAACUGAAGUAGUGCCGGACCCACAAAUUUGAUAAUCACUACCAUAGUUCUGAUUCCAAAGCGAGGUGUUUGGAAUCUGAAUUCGAUUUCUAUAACUACCCAUUUUACUCCCAUUAAACUUUUAUAAUCUCUAAAUUACUCUCAAUUAAGUUCUAUCAUUUUUUUCUUUUUGGUUCCCAUGGAAUUUAUCAAAAAAAACUCAAAUUUUUUGAAUUAUUUGCAAAUAGGUCCUUUAUUGUUUAUAAUAAUGUAAUAAUAAUAUUAUAUUAUUAUCAUUAUUAUAUUUAAAAUUUAUUUAUUUUAUUAUUUUAAUUAUUAUUAUUGUCAUUAAUUUCAUCAUCAUCAUUAUUAUUAAAUUUUUUUAUUUAUUUUUCUUUUAGAAUAACAUGGUACACAUAAAUAGCUAGACAAAGAGAAUCUCUUGUAUAUAUCAAGAGAUCUUACAAAUUAAACUGAACCAAACUGAGACCAUCAUACAAUUGACGGGUAAUAACAAUACCCAUACUUUUAUUUUCUUAAACAUAACAUAAGAGACUAAUACUGCAUAUUCUUAACCAGUGUGAUCAAGAUUUCUUCCAUAUUGCGGGACCACAAGAAGAUCAAUAUUUCCAUUAAUUUCAUCAUCAGCAAUAAGUGAAAAAAAUGGGGGACCUACACCCUCCGACCAAUCGGUAUAACCUGAAAAAUUCAUUUUUUUUUUUUGGUUUUGACCAUGAGGUAUCCUGGGGAGGGCCCCAACUGUGGGAGGCACCUUUAAGCCUGUACCACAACCCAGACUAGAAGUCCCCGCUCGAACCGAGAGGCACAGGUUCUCCCAACAAAGGCGACUUCCCUGCUACUCGAACUGAAAAAUUCAUGUUAUAAAACUUAAUCACAAAUACACAUAUUAAAAUAAGAAUUAUAAAUGACAUAAGAAUUAUUUGAAAAUGCAUGGCCUAUGUAUAAACCUGCGCAAGGAGUUCCCAUAAUCUUCAAAUCAGGAAGGCAAAAGAUUUCUGCUGGCUUCGACUGAACCGUAUUCAAAACUCAAAAGGUAAGUAGUUGUGCUUGAGCGAGUUCUUAUUUCUGGUUUGAUCUGAUAUAUAUAGAUCAAGUAGCCGACACUACGGUGCCAACGUGGCAAAGUAACAAGUUGUGCAUGGUAAAGAUAAUGGAUCAGUGGUUCUAAUUUAAUCGUACAAUAAGUAGGGAAGGUCAACAGCUCUAUAUGGUUAAGUUAGUGCAUGUGUGAU